Molecule: long non-coding RNA, 72118 nt
Filed under: Triticum aestivum (bread wheat)
Lineage: Eukaryota; Viridiplantae; Streptophyta; Magnoliopsida; Poales; Poaceae
Description: long non-coding RNA (TAES_LNC020661)
Source: RNAcentral
CAAAGUCUUUUGCCACAAUCUGAUUUUCACUUUUAUUUUUCUCCUGUUUUGCUUUAUUAGCUCUAUUAAUAUCAUCUUUCAAAAUGGAAUCAGGAGUCAUAGGAAGCAAAGUAAUAUUUUUAUCCUUAUGAACAAGAGUAUACUGAUUGUUUCUACCAUGGUGUACAGAAUUUUUAUCAAAUUGCCAUGGUCUACCAAGUAACAAGGAACAUGCUUGCAUAGGUACCACAUCACAAUCAACAUAAUCAGCAUAUGUAGAGAUACUAAAAUGCACACAAACAGUACGUGUUACCUUAACCUUGCCACUGUUGUUGAACCAUUGGAUGUAGUAAGGAUGUGGAUGUGGUCUUGUGGUGAGUGAUAGCUUCUCCACCAUAUCCAUGCUAGCCAAGUUAUUGCAGAUCCCUCCAUCUAUGAUGACGCGAACUGAACGUGCCUUCACAACUCCCUUUGUAUGGAACAAAUUAUGCCUCUGAUUUUGCUCAGCUUGUGUGACCUGCACACUCAAAACACGUUGAGCAACUAAACAUUCAUAGCUGUCAGCAUCUUCAGGAGCCAUGUAUUGCGUCUCAUGAUCAGAAUCAUCUCCACCAUGUUCUUCACGUGUAAUAAGAGCCAAAGUCUCCUCGGCAUAGUCACUAGCGGACUCAUACCCACCAUCCUUAGUAGCAGUCAUCACACGCUGAGAUUUGCAUUGUCUCGCAAAAUGUCCUCUUCCCUUACAACGACGACAAAUAAUAUCACUUGUGUGCCCUUUUGAUGCCAUGGAAGAAGAAGAACUCUGCGCAGGCCCGGGAGGUGUGCUCUUGGCAAAUAGUGGUGGUUGUGCGUGCUUUCUUGAAUCACGGCUGGAUGUGGCACCUGAUGGAGGUGCUAGUGGAGUGGAAGUAGAGGAUUCACGUGGUGUCCAUGAUGAAGAUCAACCUGCAGAAAAGUUAGUUCGCGCCAAUGCAUGUCGAUCCUGCACUUCACGUUCAGCUUUACAAGCAAGAUGGAAUAAACGAGUGAUAUUAGUAUACUCCUUAUACUCUAGAAUGGUCUGGAUCUCUCUAUUUAAUCCACCCAUAAAACGUGCAAGCAUAGCUUCAUUCUCCUCAACAAUACCACAUCUAAUCAUGCCAGUUUGUAAUUCCUGAUAAUAUUCUUCUACAAAAAAAUUCCUUGUCUUAAAUGCUGCAAUUUUUGAAGUAAUUCACGUUGAUAAUAUGGUGGAAGCCAACGAGUGCGCAUAGCACUUUUCAUAGCAGCCCAAGUAGCUGGAAUAGGAUAUAAUCUACAAUGCUCAGACCACCAAACACAUGCAAAAUUAGUGAAUGCACAAACAGCAGCAGGAACACGUCUCUCCUCAGGAUAUUGUAAACAUGUAAAUCAUUGUUCAGUUUCUAACUCCCAAGUAAGAUAUAUAUCAGGAACAUAUCUACCCUCAAAUGGUGGAAUAUUCAAUUUUAGUUUAGGGAGAUGGUCAUGAUCUCGUACCUGAGGGUGAGCCCUACCAUUGCCAUUAUUUGCAUGUGGACGACCUGGUGGUUGCUGUGCUGGUGGUGGCACGUAGUUCUGAUUUUGAUCAACCUCAUCCUCGUAAUCUCUCGCAAAAUCAUCCUCCUCCGCAUCAGCAGCAGGAGCCACAGAAGUAUCAACAGCAGCACCAAUAGUUUGGCCAGGUGCAAGAGGGAGACGGCUCGCUCGGCGGAGGGCUAUUUCGCGAUGUGGAGGUAGUCGUUGUUGUUGUUGUUGUUGUAGAGGUGCGUUAGGUGCAGCCGGUGCUGUUGGUGGAAGAUGCACGAGCAAUUCAUUAAACCUGUUAUCGAGCUUUGUUUCGAACGUCUUCUCCAUGCCAUCUAUCUUCUCCAUGGCCUCUUCAAAUCUGUUUAGCACAUCUUGCACCUGUCCACUCAUCAUUUGCUGAAAUUUAUCAUGCAACUCCUUUUUCGUCAUGUUCUCCCAGUCAGUCUCGUCGGCUUGUGAUCCUGCAAUGGUUAGCAACAAUAGAAACACACAAGAAUAUGAUCCUACAGACUACUAACAAGUGGUGGUGGUGAUGUCACAAAUCCGUCAAGCAAAUCUCAAAUUCUUACCAGUUCUUACCCAGCAGCAGGCGGUGAUCGGCAACCGUCGUAGUCAAAACUCUCAAAGCUUGGAUGGAGCGAUUAACAGGGAGAGUCAAACGCACAACGUAGAUGUAUGUGGAGCUGGGAAGGCUUAUAAUAUGGUAGCAAAAAGGGUCAGCAAUAAUCAAUUCAGAGAUGCAAAGUUGAAUAAACGCUCAACGACGGUACUGUGCUGGUCCUAGGCUAGACCGUGCUAGAGACGCGAGCGUAGAACACUAACAAAAUCACGGCGCUGCACGUAAACAAUGGAGGAGCACACUCUGAAUUUUUUUUCCUCUCUUUUUUGCUCCGCAACAAUUUUUUUUUGAAAAAGUCUACAAAUGGUCUAAAAACUGCCUAGCCAGAAUUUUCCAGACUUAGUUUUUUUGAGUUUGGAACUAUUUUUCUUCUGUGUGUGGCACGUAAUCUCGGGAGUCCUACUCUGUCACGACUCGGAGUAUGGCGUGAUCUGGAACUCGAAAACAAAGCAACAAAUACUGGACUCGGACUAGGACUGGUGGCGGAGAUGAAUCUGGUGGAACUCGGAUUGCGGUGGUAUAUCUGGACUCAGAUUGGUGGUGGUAUAUGGCGAUGGUAUAUCUGGACUCGGAUUGGUGGUGGUAUAUGGCGAUGGUAUAUGUGGACUUGGAUUGGUGGUAGUAUAUGGCAGUGGCGAUGUAUAUGGUGGGGUGGUGGUAUAUGGUAAUGAUGAUGACGAUGGUGCAGCGGCGGCGUGACAACCUGUGAAUAGAACUCGAAACUCUAAGGGACUAGAUGCUAAAACCAGCAACUCGACACGACGAUCCAACCACAAAUUCAACACAGCAAAACUCUAAAAAUACUAUGGAAAGGCUCAAAUUGGUUUGGAUAUGAUUGAAGGAAAUAUGCCCUAGAGGCAAUAAUAAAGUUAUUAUUUAUUUCCUUAUAUCAUGAUAAAUGUUAUUAUUCAUGCUAGAAUUGUAUUAACCGGAAACAUAAUACAUGUGUGAAUACAUAGACAAACAGAGUGUCACUAGUAUGCCUCUACUUGACUAGCUCGUUAAUCAAAGAUAGUUAUGUUUCCUAACCAUGGACAAAGAGUUGUUAUUUGAUUAACGGGAUCACAUCAUUAGGUGAAUGAUCUGAUUGACAUGACCCAUUCCAUUAGCUUAGCACCCGAUCGUUUAGUAUGUUGCUAUUGCUUUCUUCAUGACUUAUACAUGUUCCUAUGACUAUGAGAUUAUGCAACUCCCGUUUGCCGGAGGAACACUUUGUGUGCUACCAAACAUCACAACAUAAAUGGGUGAUUAUAAAGGUGCUCUACAGGUGUCUCUAAAAGUACAUGUUGGGUUGGCAUAUUUUGAGAUUAGGAUUUGUCACUCCAAAUGUCGGAUAGGUAUCUCUGGGCCCUCUCGGUAAUGCACAUCACAUAAGCCUUGCAAGCAUUACAACUAAUAAGUUAGUUGCAAGAUGAUGUAUUACGAAACGAGUAAAGAGACUUGCCAGUAACGAGAUUGAACUAGGUAUUGAGAUACCGACGACCGAAUCUCGGGCAAGUAACAUACCGAUGACAAAGGGAACAACGUAUGUUGUUAUGCGGUCUGACCGAUAAAGAUCUCCGUAGAAUAUGUAGGAGCCAAUAUGAGCAUCCAGGUUCCGCUAUUGGUUAUUGACCGGAGACGUGUCUCGGUCAUGUCUACAUUGUUCUCGAACCCGUAGGGUCCGCACGCUUAAGGUUUCGAUGACAGUUAUAUUAUGAGUUUAUGAGUUUUGAUGUACCGAAGUUAGUUCGGAGUCCCAGAUGUGAUCACGGACAUGACGAGGAGUCUCGAAAUGGUCGAGACAUAAAGAUUGAUAUAUUGGACGGCUAUAUUCGGACACCGGUAGUGUUCCGGGGAUGUUUCGGAUAAAACCAGAGCACCGGGGGGUUACCGGAACCCCCCGGGGGGUUAAUGGGCCUCAUGGGCCUAAAGUGGAGAAGAGGAGGGGCUGCCACGGCAGGCCGCGCGCCCCCUCUCCCCCUAGUCCGAAUUGGACAAGGAGGGAGGGGCGGCGCCCCCCCUUUUCCUUCUCUCCUUCCCCCUCUCCUACUUGGACAAGGAAAGGGAGGGGAGUCCUACUCCCGGUAGGAGUAGGACUCCUCCUGCGCGCCUCCUACUAGGGCCGGCCGCACCCCCCCUUGGAUCCUUUAUAUACGGAGGCAAGGGGCACCCCUAGACACACAAGUUGAUCCACGUGAUCAUAUUCUUAGCCGUGUGCGGUGCCCCCUUCCACCAUAAUCCUCGAUAACAUUGUAGCAGUGCUUAGGCGAAGCCCUGCGACGAUAGUACAUCAAGAUCGUCACCACGCCGUCGUUCUGACGGAACUCUUCCCCGACACUUUGCUGGAUCAGAGUCCGGGGAUCGUCAUCGAGUUGAACGUGUGCUAAAACUCGGAGGUGCCGUAGUUUCGGUGCUUGAUCGGUCGGGCCGUGGAGACGUACGACUACAUCAACCAAAGUCAAUGCUUCUAUUGUCGAUCUACAAGGGUACGUAGAUCACACUCUCCUCCUCUCGUUGCUAUGCACCAUGAUCUUGCGUGUGCAUAGGAAUUUUUUUGAAAUUACUACGUUCCCCAACAGUGGUAUCAGAGCCUAGGUUUUAUAUAUUGAUGUUAUAUGCACAAGUAGAACACAAGUGAGUUGUGGGCGAUAUAAGUCAUACUGCUUACCAGCAUGUCAUACUUUGGUUCGGCGGUAUUGUUGGACGAAGCGGCCCGGACCGACAUUACGCGUACGCUUACGCGAGACCGGUUCUCCCGACGUGCUUUGCACAUAGGUGGCUUGCGGGUGACAGUUUCUCCAACUUUAGUUGAACCGAGUGUGGCUAUGCCCGGUCCUUGCGAAGGUUAAAACAACACCAACUUGACAAACUAUCAUUGUGGUUUUGAUGCAUAGGUAAGAUUGGUUCUUGCUUAAGCCCGUAGCAGCCACGUAAAACUUGCAACAAACAAAGUAGAGGACGUCUAACUUGUUUUUGCAGGGCAUGUUGUGAUGUGAUAUGGUCAAGACAUGAUGCUAAAUUUUAUUGUAUGAGAUGAUCAUGUUUUGUAACCGAGUUAUCAGCAACUGGCAAGAGCCAUAUGGUUGUCGCUUUAUUGUAUGCAAUGCAAUCGCGCUGUAAUGCUUUACUUUAUCACUAAGCGGUAGCGAUAGUCGUGGAAGCAUAAGAUUGGCGAGACGACAAUGAUGCUACGAUGGAGAUCAAGGUGUCGCACCGGUGACGAUGGUGAUCAUGACGGUGCUUCGAAGAUGGUGAUCACAAGCACAAGAUGAUGAUGGCCAUAUCAUAUCACUUAUAUUGAUUGCAUGUGAUGUUUAUCUUUUAUGCAUCUUAUCUUGCUUUGAUUGACGGUAGCAUUAUAAGUUGAUCUCUCACUAAUUAUCAAGAAGUGUUCUCCCUGAGUAUGCACCAUUGCGAAAGUUCUUCGUGCUGAGACACCACGUGAUGAUCGGGUGUGAUAGGCUCUACGUUCAAAUACAACGGGUGCAAAAUAGUUGCACACGCAGAAUACUCAGGUUAUACUUGACGAGCCAAGCAUAUACAGAUAUGGCCUCGGAACACGGAGACCGAAAGGUCGAGCGUGAAUCAUAUAGUAGAUAUGAUCAACAUAGUGAUGUUCACCAAUGAAACUACUCCAUCUCACGUGAUGAUCGGACAUGGUUUAGUUGAUUUGGAUCACGUAAUCACUUAGAGGAUUAGAGGGAUGUCUAUCUAAGUGGGAGUUCUUUAAGUAAAUUAAUUUAACCUAAAUUUAUCAUGAAACUUAGUACCUGAUAGUAUCUUGCUUGUUUAUGCUUGAUUGUAGAUAGAUGGGUCGCGCUGUUGUUCCAUUAAAUUUUAAUGCGUUCCUUGAGAAAGCAAAGUUGAAAGAUGAUGGUAGCAAUUACACGGAGUGGGUCCGUAACUUGAGGAUUAUCCUCAUUGCUGCACAGAAGAAUUACAUCCUGGAAGCACCGCUGGGUGCCAGGCCUGCUGCUGGAGCAACACCAGAUGUUAUGAACGUCUGGCAGAGCAAAGCUGAUGACUACUCGAUAGUUCAGUGUGCCAUGCUUUACGGCUUAGAAUCGGGACUUCAAUGACAUUUCGAACGUCAUGGAGCAUAUGAGAUGUUCCAGGAGUUGAAGUUAAUAUUUCAAGCAAAUGCCCCGAUUGAGAGAUAUGAAGUCUCCAAUAAGUUCUAUAGCUGCAAGAUGGAGGAGAACAGUUCUAUCAGUGAGCAUAUACUCAAAAUGUCUGGGUUUAAUAAUCACUUGAUUCAAUUGGGAGUUAAUCUUCCAGAUGAUUGUGUCAUUGACAGAAUUCUCCAAUCACUGCCACCAAGCUACAAGAGCUUCGUGAUGAACUAAAAUAUGCAAGGGAUGAAUAAGACUAUUCCCGAGCUCUUCGCAAUGCUGAAAGCUGCGGAGGUAGAAAUCAAGAAAGAGCAUCAAGUGUUGAUGGUCAACAAGACCACUAGUUUCAAGAAAAAGGGCAAAGGGAAGAAGAAUGGGAACUUCAAAAAGAACAGCAAGCAAGUUGCUACUCAAGAGAAGAAACCCAAACCUGGACCUAAGCCUGAAACUGAGUGCUUCUACUACAAGCAGACUGGUCACUGGAAGUGGAACUGCCCCAAGGAUUUGACGGAUAAGAAGGAUGGCAAGGUGAACAAAGGUAUAUGUGAUAUACAUGUUAUUGAUGUUUACCUUACUAAUGCUCGCAGUAGCACCUGGGUAUUUGAUACUGGUUCUGUUGCUAAUAUUUGCAACUCGAAACAGGGACUACGGAUUAAGCGAAGAUUGGCUAAGGACGAGGUGACGAUGCGCGUGGGAAACGGUUCCAAAGUCGAUGUGAUCGCAGUCGGCACGCUACCUCUACAUCUACCUUCGGGAUUAAUAUUAGACCUAAAUAAUUGUUAUUUGGUGCCAGCGUUAAGCAUGAACAUUAUAUCUGGAUCUUGUUUGAUGCGAGACGGUUAUUCAUUUAAAUAUGAGAAUAAUGGUUGUUCUAUUUAUAUGAGUAAUAUCUUUUAUGGUCAUGCACCCUUAAAGAGUGGUCUAUUUUUAUUGAAUCUCGAUAGUAGUGACACACAUAUUCAUAGUGUUGAAGCCAAAAGAUACAGAGUUGAUAAUGAUAGUGCAACUUAUUUGUGGCACUGCCGUUUAGGUCAUAUCGGUGUAAAGCGCAUGAAGAAACUCCAUACUGAUGGACUUUUGUAACCACUUGAUUAUGAAUCACUUGGUACUUGCGAACCGUGCCUCAUGGGCAAGACGACUAAAACACCGUUCUCCGAUACUAUGGAGAGAGCAACAGAUUUGUUGGAAAUCAUACAUAUAGAUGUAUGUGGUCCGAUGAAUAUUGAGGCUCGUGGCGGAUAUCGUUAUUUUCUCACCUUCACAGAUGACUUAAGAAGAUAUGGGUAUAUCUACUUAAUGAAACAUAAGUCUGAAACGUUUGAAAAGUUCAAAGAAUUUCAGAGUGAAGUUGAAAAUCACCGUAACAAGAAAAUAAAGUUUCUACAAUCUGAUCGUGGAGGAGAAUAUUUGAGUUACGAGUUUGGUGUACAUUUGAAACAAUGCGGAAUAGUUUCGCAACUCACGCCACCCGGAACACCACAGCGUAAUGGUGUGUCCGAACGUCGUAAUCGUACUUUACUAGAUAUGGUGCGAUCUAUGAUGUCUCUUACUGAUUUACCGCUAUCGUUUUGGGGUUAUGCUUUGGAGACGGCCACAUUCACAUUAAAUAGGGCACCAUCAAAAUCCGUUGAGACGACGCCUUAUGAACUAUGGUUUGGCAAGAAACCAAAAUUGUCGUUUCUGAAAGUUUGGGGCUGCGAUGCUUAUGUGAAAAAGCUUCAACCUGAUAAGCUCGAACCCAAAUCGGAGAAAUGUGUCUUCAUAGGAUAUCCAAAGGAGACUAUUGGAUACACCUUCUAUCACAGAUCCGAAGGCAAGACUUUUGUUGCUAAAUUCGGAAACUUUCUGGAGAAGGAAUUUCUCUCGAAAGAAGUGAGUGGGAGGAAAGUAGAACUUGACGAGGUAACUGUACCUACUCCCUUAUUGGAAAGUAGUACAUCACAGAAACCUGUUUCUGUGACACCUACACCAGUUAGUGAGGAAGCUAAUGAUGAUGAUCAUGAAACUUCAGAACAAGAUACUACUGAACCUCGUAGAUCAACCAGAGUGAGAUCCACGCCAGAGUGGUACGGUAAUCCUGUUCUGGAAGUCAUGCUACUAGAUCAUGAUGAACCUACGAACUAUGAAGAAGCGAUGGUGAGCCCAGAUUCCGCAAAAUGGCUUGAAGCCAUGAAAUCUGAUAUGGGAUCCAUGUAUGAGAACAAAGUAUGGACUUUGGUUGACUUGCCCGAUGAUCGGCAAGCAAUUGAGAAUAAAUGGAUCUUCAAGAAGAAGACUGAUGCUGACGGUAAUAUUACUGUUUACAAAGCUCGACUUGUUGCAAAAGGUUUUCGGCAAGUUCAAGGGAUUGACUACGAUGAGACCUUCUCACCCGUAGCGAUGCUUAAGUCUGUCCGAAUCAUGUUAGCAAUUGCCGCAUUUUAUGAUUAUGAAAUUUGGCAGAUGGAUGUCAAAACUGCAUUCCUGAAUGGAUUUCUGGAAGAAGAAUUGUAUAUGAUGCAACCAGAAGGUUUUGUCGAUCCAAAGGGAGCUAACAAAGUGUGCAAGCUCCAGUGAUCCAUUUAUGGACUGGUGCAAGCCUCUCGGAGUUGGAAUAAACGCUUUGAUAGUGUGAUCAAAGCAUUUGGUUUUAUACAGACUUUUGGGGAAGCCUGUAUUUACAAGAAAGUGAGUGGGAGCUCUGUAGCAUUUCUGAUAUUAUAUGUGGAUGACAUAUUACUAAUUGGAAAUGAUAUAGAAUUUUUGGAUAGCAUAAAGGGAUACUUGAAUAAGAGUUUUUCAAUGAAAGACCUCGGUGAAGCUGCUUACAUAUUAGGCAUUAAGGUCUAUAGAGAUAGAUCAAGACGCUUAAUUGGACUUUCACAAAGCACAUACCUUGACAAAGUUUUGAAGAAGUUCAAAAUGGAUCAAGCAAAGAAAGGUUCUUGCCUGUGUUACAAGGUGUGAAGUUGAGUAAGACUCAAUGCCCGACCACUGCAGAAGAUAGAGAAAAAAUGAAAGAUGUUCCCUAUGCUUCAGCCAUAGGCUCUAUCAUGUAUGCAAUGUUGUGUACCAGACCUGAUGUGUGCCUUGCUAUAAGUCUAGCAGGGAGGUACCAAAGUGAUCCAGGAGUGGAUCACUGGACAACGGUCAAGAACAUCUUGAAAUACCUGAAAAGGACUAAGGAUAUGUUUCUCAUAUAUGGAGGUGACAAAGAGCUCAUCGUAAAAGGUUACGUUGAUGCAAGCUUUGACACUGAUUCGGACGAUUCUAAAUCGCAAACCGGAUACGUGUUUACAUUAAACAGUAGAGCUAUCAGUUGGUGCAGUUCUAAACAAAGCGUUGUAGCGGGAUCUACAUGUGAAGCGGAGUACAUAGCUGCUUCGGAAGCAGCAAAUGAAGGAGUCUGGAUGAAGGAGUUCAUAUCCGAUCUAGGUGUCAUACCUAGUGCAUCGGGUCCAAUGAAAAUCUUUUGUGACAAUACUGGUGCAAUUGCCUUGGCAAAGGAAUCCAGAUUUCACAAGAGAACCAAGCACAUCAAGAGACGCUUCAAUUCCAUCCGGGAUCUAGUCCAGGUGGGAGACAUAGAGAUUUGCAAGAUACAUACGGAUUUGAAUGUUGCAGACCCGUUGACUAAGCCUCUUCCAUGAGCAAAACAUGAUCAACACCAAGGCUCCAUGGGUGUUAGAAUCAUUACUGUGUAAUCUAGAUUAUUGACUCUAGUGCAAGUGGGAGACUGAAGGAAAUAUGCCCUAGAGGCAAUAAUAAAGUUAUUAUUUAUUUCCUUAUAUCAUGAUAAAUGUUUAUUAUUCAUGCUAGAAUUGUAUUAACCGGAAACAUAAUACAUGUGUGAAUACAUAGACAAACAGAGUGUCACUAGCAUGCCUCUACUUGACUAGCUCGUUAAUCAAAGAUAGUUAUGUUUCCUAACCAUGGACAAAGAGUUGUUAUUUGAUUAACGGGAUCACAUCAUUAGGUGAAUGAUCUGAUUGACAUGACCCAUUCCAUUAGCUUAGCACCCGAUCGUUUAGUAUGUUGCUAUUGCUUUCUUCAUGACUUAUACAUGUUCCUAUGACUAUGAGAUUAUGCAACUCCCGUUUGCCGGAGGAACACUUUGUGUGCUACCAAACGUCACAACGUAAAUGGGUGAUUCUAAAGGUGCUCUACAGGUGUCUCCAAAAGUACAUGUUGGGUUGGCGUAUUUCGAGAUUAGGAUUUGUCACUCCGAAUGUCGGAGAGGUAUCUCUGGGCCCUCUCGGUAAUGCACAUCACAUAAGCCUUGCAAGCAUUGCAACUAAUGAGUUAGUUGCAAGAUGAUGUAUUACGAAACGAGUAAAGAGACUUGCCGGUAACGAGAUUUAACUAGGUAUUGAGAUACCGACGAUCGAAUCUCGGGCAAGUAACAUACCGAUGACAAAGGGAACAACGUAUGUUGUUAUGCGGUCUGACCGAUAAAGAUCUUCGUAGAAUAUGUAGGAGCCAAUAUGAGCAUCCAGGUUCCGCUAUUGGUUAUUGAUCGGAGACGUGUCUCGGUCAUGUCUACAUUGUUCUCGAAUCCGUAGGGUCCGCACGCUUAAGGUUUCGAUGACAGUUAUAUUAUGACUUUAUGAGUUUUGAUGUACCGAAGUUAGUUCGGAGUCCCGGAUGUGAUCACGGACAUGACGAGGAGUCUCGAAAUGGUCGAGACAUAAAGAUUGAUAUAUUGGACGGCUACAUUCGGACACCGGAAGUGUUCCGGGGAAGUUUCGGAUAAAACCGGAGCACCGGGGGGUUACCGGAACCCCCCGGGGGGUUAAUGGGCCUCAUGGGCCUAAAGUGGAGAAGAGGAGGGGCUGCCAGGGCAGGCCCCGCGCCCCCUCUCCCCCUAGUCCGAAUUGGACAAGGAGGAAGGGGCGGCGCCCCCCCUUUUCCUUCUCUCCUUCCCCCUCUCCUACUUGGACAAGGAAAGGGAGGGGAGUCCUACUCCCGGUAGGAGUAGGACUCCUCCUGCGCGCCUCCUACUAGGGCCGACCGCACCCCCCCCCCUUGGAUCCUUUAUAUAUGGAGGCAAGGGGCGCCCCUAGACACACAAGUUGAUCCACGUGAUCAUAUUCUUAGCCGUGUGCGGUGCCCCCUUCCACCAUAAUCCUUGAUAACAUUGUAGCGGUGCUUAGGCAAAGCUCUGCGACGAUAGUACAUCAAGAUCAUCACCAUGCCGUCGUGUUGACAGAACUCUUCCCCGACACUUUGCUGGACCGGAGUCCGGGGAUCGUCAUCGAGCUGAACGUGUGCUAAAACUCGGAGGUGCCGUAGCUUCGUUGCUUGAUCGGUCGGGCCGUGGAGACGUACGACUACAUCAACCAAAGUCAAUGCUUCCAUUGUCGAUCUACAAGGGUACGUAGAUCACACUCUCCUCCUCUCGUUGCUAUGCAUCACCAUGAUCUUGCGUGUGCGUAGGAAAUUUUUUGAAAUUACUACGUUCCCCAAUAAUGAUGACCUAACCCUAAAUUUUUUUUGGCUUUUUCGUGGACUAUAGGUAUGAAGAACAGACUCGACCUAAACUACGAAAAAUUGUAAAAUCUCACCGAGCAACAUGGAAAUCUGAUACCACAUGAUAGAGGCAAAGUUGUCCCAUCUUUCGAUGAGAUAGUGGCUAUCGUUUCAGAGGAAGUCGACUUUGACGAUUCGACUACGAACGUGCGAGGACGUCGCGCCUUAGCAAUCGCUAAACCAACUCCGAGGGGUUAUUGACCAUGCCGGAGCACGAUCAACCUGACCACGAGGGCCUGUUUCCUGCGAGCAAACAAAGAACAAGCAAGAAACUGAGAUUGCAAUCUGAAUUGCGAAUAUAAGAUGAAAGCUUUAUUGAUCAAAGUGGGGUUCUAUAACGUCUUGGUUUGGUCGUUGGACACAAACAAAGUAUGCGAAGUUGCAGCUACGGCGAACUUUUAAUCUAAACAAAACCCAAAGUCUAAACGACGCCCUAAGGGCUAUAUAUAUGGAGGAAGAGGGGGAAUUUCGUGGCCCUUGGAGGAGGGGUCCGAAACCAACCCUAACUCUUGUUUCCCCACACAUACGGACUCUAAAAACAGCCUAUACUUAAGUAUUUCGAAAAUACAUGGGCCUGGCCUAAUAAUAAGGUGACGCAACACCUAAAAUAACCUCUGGACGAAAUUUAUGAAGUGGCAUCUUGUAUAUUUCGUCCAAGGCUUCAUGCACUCCUUAUGGUGGCUUCAAAGUCCUGAAAUCAUCACUUGUAACUCCGUUCUGGAUCCCCUUGCGCAUGCCAUCAUCUCCAUGCUUGAACUUGUUCCAAGGUUCAUCUUUCUUGUCCAAGCUAGGCCCUUCAUUUGUAAUCAAGACAAAUGUAUCCAAUUUAGGCAGCAUCAUAUUCUCAUGAACACUAGAAUUGUUAUCGAGAAACGAAAGUACCUGAUAAUUCAAUUGGCGUGCGCGAGCUCUAGUAAUUGGUGCAGUAUGUAUAGCAGCAGGGGUUGUGGGUGUAACAAUGGUAUUGAUGUCCUCAUCAUACUGCGUGCCACAUCAUCAACCGGGUAUAUCUUCACAAAUUCUUCAAAAAGACCUCAUAUGAACUCCUCACUAACAAGAAACCCAAUGUAAGUUAUUUCAAAGUCUUCAGUGCUAAAUGUUGGAUUAGAAAUCAUCAUCACAAUUCUAAAUUUGCACCGAAAGCACAUGAAAGUUUUAUGCUUGGUAACGGAAAGGACUCGCACACCUAAAAAGUCUUCAACACCAUUCAUCACAAGGUUGUUGAAACUGUAGAUGUGCGAUUUGAUGAAACAAAUGGCUCGCAAAGAGAGCACCUACCUCCUAUGCUAGAUGAAAUGUCACCUAAGGAAUCCAUCAAGUUCAAGGCUACUUAGGAUGUCAUUCCAACCAAAGAAUUGAUAGAGUCUAAGGUGUCCCGAUGUUUCGAUGAGAUGGUGGCUAUCGUUUUCUCUGGGAGUCGACCUUGACGAUCUGACUACGAACGUGCGAGACAUCGCGCCUUAGCAAUCGCUAAACCAACUUCCGAGGGUUAUUGACCACGCCGGAGCACGAUCAACCUGACCACGAGGGUCUGUUUCCUGCGAGCAAAUGAAGAACAAGCAAGAAAUUGAGAUUGCAAUCGGGAUAUUGCGAAUAUAAGAUGAAAGCUUUAUUGAUCAAGGUGGGGUUCUGUGACGUCUUGGUCUGGUCGUUGGACACAAACGAAGUACGCGAAGUUGCAGCUAUGGCGAACUUUUAAUCUAAACAAAACCCAAAGUCUAAACGACGCCCUAAGGGCUGUAUAUAUGGAGGAAGAGGGGGGGGGAAUUUCAUGGCCCUUGAGGGUGGGGUCCGAAACCAACCCUAACUCUUGUUUCCCCACACAUACGGACUCUAAAAAUAGCCUAUACUUAAGUAUUUCGAAAUUACAUGGGCCUGGCCCAUUAAUAAGGUGACGCAGCACCUAGAAUAGCCUAUGGACGAAUAUUAUGAAGUGGCAUCUUGUAUAUUUCGUCCAAGGCUUCAUGCACUCCUUAUGGCGCCUUCAAAGUCCUGAAAUCAUCACUUGUAACUCCGUUCUUGAUCCCCUUGCGCAUGCCAUCAACUGCAUGCAUGUUCUUGCUCCAAUGUUCAUCCUUCUCCAAGCUAGGCCCUUCAUUUGUAAGCAAAACAAAUGUAUCCAAUUUAGGCAGCAUCAUAAUCUCAUGAACAUUAGAAUCAUUACCAAGAAACGAAAGUACCUGGUAAUUUAAUUGGUGUGCGCGAGCUCUAGUAAUUGGUCCAGUAUAUGUAACAGUAGGGGCUGUGGGUGUAACAAUGGUAUUGAUGUCCUCAUCAAGAAUCUACUGAAGAAGUCAUUCCAGAUCGUGAACAACAUCAUACGGGUGCACCUGAAGAAAAUGGCUUUGAAGAAAAUGCUAAGCCCACUCAAUGUCGUCAACCUGCUCAUCCUCGUGUCGCAAAUGAAGUGCAGAUCGAGAAAAUCAUCGACGACAUCAACGCACCAGGUCCUCUCACAUGCUCAAGGGCUUUACAUUUGUCAAACUUUUGUGGGAACUUUGCUUUUGUCUCUAUCAUAGCGCCCAGCAAAGUUGAUGAGGCAUUUCUGGAGCCUGGGUGGAUUCAAGCGACGCAAGAGGAAUUACAUCAAUUCGAGCUCAACAAUGUCUGGGAACUUGUCAAGCGACCAGACCCACGCAAGCACAAUAUCAUCGGUACCAAAUGGAUCUACCGAAACAAGCAAGAUGAAAAUGGCCUUGUGGUGAGGAAUAAGGCUCGUCUUGUAGCUCAAGGCUACUCGCAGGUUGAAGGAAUUGAUUUCGAUGAAACUUUUGCACCUGUUGCUAGACUUGAGGCUAUUCGCAUAUUGCUUGCUUAUGCUAACCAUCAUAAUAUCAUCUUAUAUCAAAUGGAUGUGAAAAGUGCAUUCCUUAAUGGUAAGCUUGAGGAAGAAGUAUAUGUUGCUCAACCCCCAGGUUGUGAAGACCCUAAGCAUCCUGACAAAGUCUUCAGACUCAAUAAGGCCCUCUAUGGUCUCAAGCGGGCCCCUCGGCCAUGGUAUGAUAGUUUGAAGGAAUUCCUCAUGAAGAAAGGCUUCAAACCCGGUUCACUUGACCCAACUCUUUUCACCAAAACCAAUGAUGAUGAAUUGUUCGUGUGCUAAAUAUAUGUUGAUGAUAUUAUCUUUCGACGUACUAACCAACGUUACAGUGACGAAUUUGCCUAUAUGAUGAGUGAGGAAUAUCAAAUGUCUAUGAUGGGAGAAUUGGAAUUCUUCUUAGGUCUUCAAAUUCUCAACAACGCAAUGGCAUCUUCAUAUCUCAAGAGAAAUGCCUCCAGGAUGUGUUGUGGAAAUUCGGCAUGCAAGAUUGCAAAGGUAUCAAAAUCCCUAUGCCCACAAAUGGCCAUCUCUACACUGAUGAAAAUGGUAUAGACUUUGAUCAAAAGGUAUACCGCUCCAUGAUUGGCUCUUUAUUGUAUCUAUGUGCAUCUAGGCCAGAUAUUAUGCUUAAUGUUUGCAUGUGUGCCCGUUUUCAAGAUACACCGAAGGAAUCACACCAUAAGGAUGUGAAGCAUAUUCUUUGAUAUCUAGCUCACACUCCAACACUUGGAUUAUGGUAUCCCAAGGGCUCGGCUUUUGAUCUCAUUGGAUAUUCUGACUAUGACUAUGCUGGUGAUCAUGUGGAUCGUAAGUCAACAUCAAGCACAUGCCAUUUCCUUGGACGAUCCUUAGUAUGUUGGUCCUCGAAGAAGCAGAACUGUGUGUCACUCUCUACUGCUGAAGAUGAGUACAUUGUUGAUGGUUUGUGAUGUGAUCAAUUGCUAUGGAUGAAGCAAACCCUCAAGGACAACGACAUCAAUGUGAAGAAUGUGCCUCUCUUCUGUGACAAUGAGAGUGCCAUCAAAAUUGCUCAUAACCCAGUUCAGCACUCGAAGACAAAGCACAUCCAGAUUAAUCAUCAUUUUCUUCGAGAUCAUGUGUUCAAGGGCAACAUCUCUAUCGAGCACGUGAAGACUGAAGAACAACUAGUCGAUAUCUUCCCAAAUCCCUAGGAUGAGAAGAGAUUUAGCAAGUUGCGGUGUGAGCUAAAUAUCUUAGAAUCUUCGAAUGUUCUUUGAAAAGGACACCCAUCCUAACACUUAUGCAAAAUUGAUGACUUAGAUGUGCAACACACGAAGUAAUGUUUUUCUUCAAUCAAUGAAAACUAACCCUGUAAGUGUGAAGGAAUAAACAAAGAAUUUGAUUCUUAGAGCCCUACGACAAUUGUACGUGGCGUGUGAAAUCAUCAUUCUUAUACGGUGGGUCACGCCACCAACAAAAGUUAAAAUCUUCAAUUUGAGUUUUUCGUCAGUUGAGAAAUUCCUCAAUUGUUCAAAUUCUUCAACUUUGCAAAGUCUUCACUCUUUCUGACUGUGUUAUAUAUAUAUAUAUAUAUAUAUAUAUAUGGGUUUCAAUCCUCUCCAACAUUCACUUAUUACUAAUUCUUCAAGUCGACUUUUUGCCUAAGUAAAUGCGAUCGAACCCGUCCCCCCCCCCUCUAUGCUAAACUCAACCCAAUCUGUUCACAAAUUAUUCAUGUACGUUCUAUUUGAAACAUGUUCAAAAUCUUCACCGUGUCCUUGUCAGCUGAAGAAUUUACGAAUGAAAAAUUAAAAUAUUCUUAUCUGAAUUUUCGACUUUUGCCGCUCAAACCGUUCUGCAUCCCUCGAUAAAAUUUAUCUAUUUUACCCAAGAUCUAACAUGAUCUCCACUUCACAGUACGUGGGUGACACAUGUCGCUAGGAUGGGAAGGGUCAGGGGCACGUUCGUCCAUUUUCAUUGGACGAGCGGUUUUUCACCUCGGCUAUAAAUACCCCUCGCCAUCCUCGGACCUCAUUUACUCCGCUCAAUCUCACUCGCCUCGCUCGAGCUCUCUGACUAGCGCCGCCACUGCCUUCCAUCAUCGCCGGUGAGGAAGAGCUUCACUGCCUCGACCUCGUCGCCGUCGUACUCGCGCCGGCCGCGGAAAUAUUCACUCCGUCGACACCGUAGCUGUCUUCCACCGACAAGUUAGGGCGUGGAAGAUCUGAACGGACGAGCUUCUCAACUUCUACUCUCAAUUCGUCGUGUUCUUCGUCAAGGGUAAAUAAAAUCUAGUUUUACCGCCCUUGUUGAUUCUAAUGAUUUCCACAGAAUCUUCAAAAUGUGUUUAUUCUUCAACUUCCAUACUCUUAAAGACCACACUUUCAUCUGUUCUUGAUUUGUUUCUCUAAGCAACAUUUUUCUUCAACAUUCCUCAAUUGUGUGGAUUUUCAAUCUAUACAACUCUGGAACCUAAGUCAAAGAACACUUAAUGAAAUUCCUCAAGACACCCCUGGUCAAAUUCCUCAAACUUGUUUCUUUUAAAAAACUUCUGAGUACGCAUAUGACCUCUCCAAAUUCUUCGCACCUAUAUUCUGUUCAUAGGUACACAUGUCCGCUGUUGAUAGAGGAAAAGGUGUCCCGAUAUUUCGAUGAGAUGGUGGCUGUUGUUUCUGUGGGAGUCGACCUUGACGAUCCGACUACGAACGUGUGAGACGUCGCGCCUUAGCAAUCGCUAAACCAACUUCUGAGGGGUUAUUGACCACGCCGGAGCAUGAUCAACCUGACCACGAGGGUUCGUUUCCUAUGAGCAAACGAAGAACAAGCAAGAAACUGAGAUUGCAACCUGGAUAUUGCGAAUAUAAGAUGAAAGCUUUACUGAUCAAGGUGGGGUUCUGUGACGUCUCGGUCUGGUCGUUGGACACAAACGAAGUACGCGAAGUUGCAGCUAUGGCGAACUUUUAGUCUAAACAAAACCCAAAGUUUAAACGAUGCCCUAAGGGCUGUAUAUAUGGAGGAGAGAGGGGGAAUUUUGUGUCCCUUGGAGGAGGGGUCCGAAACCAACCCUAACUCUUGUUUCCCCACACAUACGGACUCUAAAAACAGCCUAUACUUAAGUAUUUCAAAAAUACAUGGGCCUGGCCUAAUAAUAAGGUGACGCAGCACCUAAAAUAGCCUCUGGACGAAAUUUAUGAAGUGCCACCUUGUAUAUUUUGUCCAAGGCUUCAUGCACUCCUUAUGGUGGCUUCAAAGUCCUAAAAUCAUCACUUGUAACUCCGUUCUUGACCCCCUUGCGCAUGCCAUCAUCUCCAUGCUUGGACUUGAUCCAAGGUUCAUCUUUCUUGUCCAAGCUAGGCCCUUCAUUUGUAAGCAAAACAAAUGUUUCUAAUUUAGGCAGCAUCAUAUUCUCAUGAACAUUAGAAUCGUUACCAAGAAACGAAAGUACCUGAUAAUUCAACCGGCGUGCGCGAGCUCUCGUAAUUGGUCCAAUAUGUAUAGCAGUAGGGGUUGUGGGUGUAACAAUGGUAUUGAUGUCCUCAUCAUCCUCCCCUUCUUGAAAUGAAGUCGUCCUCGACGAAAGUUCAUCGUCCUCACCCAAAUAAGGCUUUAAAUCUGCAAUGUUAAAAGUGGGACUAACCCCAAAAUCUGCAGGCAGCUCAAGUUUAUAUGCAUUAUCAUUUAUUUUCUCUAACACCUUAAAAGGACCAUCAGCACGUGGCAUCAGAUCUCCAGGUGCAAACAAAACAUGUUUUCUACCCUUAUCUCCAGCAUGUUUAUAUUUAUCAUUCAUACGCUCAAUGUUUUCCUUAGUUAACUCAUGCAUUUUUAAAAUCAAUUCAGCAUGUUCUUUAGCAUCAAAAUUAACCUUCUCCGAAGAUUGAACAGGCAACAAAUCAAUAGGUGCACGAGGUAGAAAACCAUACACAAUUUCAAAAGGGCACAUCUUAGUAGUAGAAUGCAAUGAACGAUUAUAAGCAAAUUCAAUAUGAGGCAAGCAUUCUUCCCCCAUUUUCUUCUUAUUCUUCAAAACAGCCCUAAGCAUAGUAGACAAUGUUCUAUUGACUACUUCAGUUUGUCCAUCAGUUUGGGGGUGACAAGUAGUACUAAAAAGCAGCUUAGUCCCCAACUUAGCCCAUAAACAUCUCCAAAAGUGGCGAAGAAAUUUAGUAUCACGAUCUGAAACAAUAGUAUUUGGCACACCAUGCAAGCGAAUAAUUUCACGAAAGAACUAAUCAGCAACAUUAACAACAUCAUCGCUUUUAUGACAUGAUAUAAAGUGUGCCAUUUUCGAGAACCUAUCCACGACAAAAAAUAUGCUAUCCCUCCCCUUCUUUGUUUGAGGUAAACCUAAAACAAAGUCCUUAGAUAUAUCCUCCCAAGGAACACUAGGUACAUGCAAAGGCAUAUAUAAACUAUGAGGAUUGAGUCGUGACUUAGCUUUUUGACAAGUAGUGCAGCGAGCAACAAAACGCACAACAUCCCAUCUCAUCUUUGUCCAAAAGAAAUGUGUAGCAAGUAUAUCCUCCGUCUUCUUGAUGCCAAAGUGUCCCAUUAAUCCUCCUCCAUGCGCCUCCUGGAACAACAAAAGACGAACGGAGCUAGCUGGAAUGCAUAGCUUGUUAGCACGAAACACAAAUCCAUCGUUAAAAACGAACUUGUUCCAAGUUCUCCCUUCCUUACAAUUCUGCAAAACAUCUUUAAAUUCAGCAUCAUGCACAUAUUGAUCUUUGAUGGUCUCCAAACCAAAUAUUUUAAAGUCAAGUUGUGAAAGCAUAGUAUAAUGACGAGACAAUGCAUCAACAAUAACAUUUUCUUUACCCUUCUUGUGUUUAAUGACAUAAGGGAAAGUCCCAAUGAAUUCAACCCAUUUAGCAUGUCUACAGUUCAAUUUUGCUUGACUUUUAAUGUGUUUCAACGAUUCAUGAUCAGAAUGUAUAACAAAUUCCUUGGGCCAUAAAUAAUGUUGCCAUGUUUCUAAGGUCUGAACAACAACAUAUAAUUCUUUAUCAUAAGUAGAAUAGUUCAGACUAGGCCCACUCAAUUUUUCAGAAAAGUAUGCAACAGGUUUACCAUCUUGUAAUAACACACCUCCUAAUCCAAUUCCACUAGCAUCACAUUCAAGCUCAAAAGUCUUAUUAAAAUAAAGAAGUUGGAGUAAAGGAGCAUGUGUCAACUUAUCUUUCAAUACCGUGAAGUCUUCUUCCCGUGCGGUACCCCAAAUAAAAGGCACAUCUUUCUUUGUAAGCUCGUUGAGAGGUGCAGCAAUGGUGCUGAAAUCUCUCACAAAACUUCUAUAGAAACCAGCGAGGCCAAGGAAACUCCUCACUUGUGUGACCGUUUUGGGCUACAGCCAACUCUCAAUAGCUUCAAUCUUGGCUUUAUUAACUUCAAUUCCCUAUGGAGUAACAACAUAGCCAAGAAAAGAUACUCGGUCGGUGCAAAAGGUGCACUUUCCAAGGUUACGAAACAAACGUGCAUCACAUAGAGCAAUAAAAACAACACGUAAAUGUUCCAAAUGUUCCUCCAAAGAUUUACUAUAAAUCAGUAUAUCAUCAAAAUAGACUACCACAAAUUGUCCAAUGAAAGCACGUAAAACUUCGUUCAUUAACCUCAUGAAAGUACUAGGUGCAUUAGUUAACCCAAAAGGCAUGACUAACCACUCAUAUAAUCCAAACUUAGUUUUAAAUGUUGUUUUCCAUUCAUCUGCCAAUUUCAUACGAAUUUGAUGGUAUCCACUACGCAAAUCAACUUUGGAGAAUAUUAUAGAGCCACUCAAUUCAUCAAGCAUGUCGUCUAGUCUAGGAAUAGGAUGACGAUAACGAAUAGUAAUAUUAUUAAUUCCUAUACAAUCAACACACAUACGCGACGUACCAUCCUUUUUCGGCACUAAAAUGAUAGGUACAACACAAGGACUAAGGGAUUCACGUAUAUAACCUUUGUCGAGCAGCUCCUGUACUUGACGCAUAAUCUCCUUCGUCUCCUCUAGAUUGGUACGGUAUGGCGCACGGUUGGGUAAUGAUACACCGGGAAUUAAGUCAAUUUGAUGCUCAAUCCAUCGAAUAGGUGGUAAUCCCGGUGGCACGUCUAGUGGAAAGACGUCAGCGAACUCCUGCAAAAUGUUAGUGACAGCAGGAGGCAAAGAGGAAGGCACGUCCUCAAAUGAAAAUAAUGCCUCUUUGCACACAAAAGCAUAGCAAACAGAUUUGCUAAAAUCUAGAUCAUCAAUAUCUGAUUUUGUGGCAAGUAAACAUGCACUUUUCAAUUUAAUUUCAGAAGCAACACUAGAUGGUUUAUUAUUAGGCUUCAUUUGUUGCUCAAAUUAUUUUGCCACAAUCUGAUUUUCACUCUUAUUUUUCUCCUGUUUUGCUUUAUUAGCUCUAUUAAUAUCAUCUUCCAAAAUGGAUUCAGGAGUCAUAGGAAGCAAAGUAAUAUUUUUAUCCUUAUGAACAAGAGUAUACUGAUUGUUUCUACCAUGGUGUACAGAAUUUUUAUCAAAUUGCCAUGGUCUACCAAGUAAUAAGGAACAUGCCUGCAUGGGUACCACAUCACAAUCAACAUAAUCAGCAUAUGUAGAGAUACUAAAAUGCAGACGAACAGUACGUGUUACCUUAACCUUGCCGCUGUUGUAAGGAUGUGGAUGUGGUCUUGUGGUCAGAGAUAGCUUCUCCACCAUCUCCAUGCUAGCCAAGUUGUUGCAGGUCCCUCUAUCUAUGAUGACGUGAAUAGAACGUUCCUUCACAACUCCCUUUGUAUGGAACAAAUUAUGCCUCGGAUUUUGCUCAGCUUGUGUGACCUGCACACUCAAAACAGGUUGAGCAACUAAACAUUCAUACCUGUCAGCAUCUUCAGGAGCCAUGUAUUGCGUUUCAUGAUCAGAAGCAUCUCCACCGUGUUCUUCACGUGUAAUAAGAGCCAAAGUCUCCUCAUCAUAGUCACUAGCGAACUCAUACCCACCAUGCUUAGUAGCAAUCAUCACACGCUGAGAUUUGCAUUCUCUCGUAAAAUGUCCUCUUCCCUUACAACGAUGAAAAAUAAUAUCACUUGUGUGCCCUGUUGAUGCCAUGGAAGAAGAAGAGCUCUGCGUAGGCCCGAGAGGUGUGCUCUUGGCAGAUAGUGGUGGUUGUGCCUGCUUUCUUGUAUCACGGCUGGAGGUGGCACCUGAUGGAGGUGCUAGUGUAGUGGAAGUAGAGGAUGCACGUGGUGUCCAUGAUGAAGAUCGACCUGCAGAAAAGUUAGUUCGCGCCAAUGCCUGUCGAUCCUGCACUUCACGUUCAGCUUUACAAGCAAAAUGGAAUAAACGAGUGAUAUUAGUAUACUCCUUAUACUCUAGAAUGGUCUGAAUAUCUCUAUUCAAUCCACCCAUAAAACGUGCAAGCAUAGCUUCAUUCUCCUCAACAAUACCACAUCUAAUCAUGCCAGUUUGUAAUUCCUGAUAAUAUUCUUCUACAAAAAAUUUUCCUUGUCUUAAAUGCUGCAAUUUUUGAAGCAAUUCACGUUGAUAAUAUGGUGGAACCCAACGAGUACACAUAGCAGUUUUCAAAGCAGCCCAAGUAGCUGGAAUAGGAUAUAAUUGACAAUGUUCAGACCACCAAACAAAUGCAAAGCUAGUGAAAGCACAAACAGCAGCAGGAACACGUCUCUCCUCAGGAUAUUGUAAACAUGUAAAUCGUUGUUCAGUUUCUAACUCCCAAGUAAGAUAUAUAUAUCAGGAACAUAUCUACCAUCAAAUGGUGAAAUAUUCAAUUUUAGUUUAGGAAGAUGGUCAUGUACCUCAGGUGGUGGUGCAGCCCUACUGUUGCGAGGAUAUGCAUGAGGACAACCUGGUGGUGGUGGUGCUGGUGGUUGCAUGUAGUUCUGAUUUUGGUCAACCUCAUCCUCGUAAUGGGACUCCACCUCUGCAGUAGUAGCAGGAGCGGCGGAAGCAUCAACAUCGGCACCAGAAUUUUGCCCAGGGUCAAUGGGAAUGCGCUAUGCUCGUCCCACUUGAUUUGGAAAGCGACGUUGUUGUUGUAGAGGUGCGUUAGGGGCAGCCGGUGGUGGUGGUGGUGGAAGACGCGCGAGCAAUUCAUUAAACCUGUUAUCGAGCUUUGUUUCGAAGGUCUUCUCCAUGCCAUCUAUCUUCUCCAUGGCCUCUUCAAAUCUGUUUAGCACAUCUUGCACCUGUCCACUCAUCAUUUACUGAAAUUUAUCAUGCAACUCCUUAUUCGUCAGGUUCUCCCAGUCAGUCUCGUCGGCUUGUGAUCCUACCAUGGUUAGCAGCAGUAGAAACACACGAGAAUAUGAUCCUACAGACUGCAAACAAGAGGUGGUGGUGGAUGUCACAAAUCUGUCAAGCAAAUCUCAAAUUAUUACCAGUUCUGACCCAGCAGCAGGCGGUGAUCGGCAACCAUCAUAGUCAAAACUCUCAAAGCUUGGAUAGAGCGAUUACCAGGGAGAGUCAAGUGCACGAGUAGAUGUAUGUGGAGCUGGGAAGGCUUAUAAUAUGGUAGCAAAAAGGGUCAGCAAUAAUCAAUUCAGAGAUGCAAAGUUGAAUAAAUGCUCAACGACGGUACUGUGCUGGUCCUAGGCUAGACCGUGCUAGAGACGUGAGCCUAGAACACUAACAAAAUCACAGCGCUUCAUGUAAACAAGGGAAAAGCACACUCUCGAACUUUUUUUCGCUCUUUUUUUUGCGCUCCUCUUUUUUUUGCGCUCCUUUUUUUUGCAAAAAAUCACUAUAAUGGCGACUGUCUCAAAACUCUUCCCUCGUCAAACUGAUAGGAUGGGCACGAAUUUUUUUUUGACUUUUUUCGGAAAUCAGGGCAGCGAUGACGAAAAAGUGCGACAAAAAAUCACUAUGAUGGCACGUGGCUCAAAAGACUCAGAAAAGCCUAAAAAUAGGAUAGGGAAAAAAUUGCUUGUGAAAAUUUUGGCCUAAAAACUGCCCGGGGGUCUCCAAACUUUUUUUUUCCGAGACCUACUCAGGCAAGGAAACACGAAUCGGAAAUUAGACGAACCUCGAAAACAAACCUAAUAUGAGAGGAACUCGAAUUGGUAGUGGAUAUAUGAUGGUAGGAUAUGGCAGCGGUGGUGGUAUAUGGAUACGGAUUGGUGGUGGUAUAUGGAUACGGAUUAGUGAUGGUAUAUGGAGACGGAUUGGUGGUGGUAUAUGGAUACGGAUCGAUGGCGGAUAAGCGGUGGUGGUAGAUGGCAGGAGCGAUGAUGAUGGUGCAGCGGUGGCGUGACAACUUAUGACCAGAACUCGAAACUCUAAAAGACUAGACUCUAAGACCAUCAACUAGACACGACGAUGCAACCGCAAAUUCAACAAAGCAAAAUACUGAAAAGACUAUGCAAAGGCUCAGAUUUGUUCGGAUAUGAUGAACUAACCCUAAUUUUUUUUGGUUUUUUUCGUGGACUGUAGGUAUGAAGAACAGACUCGAUCUAAACUAUGAAAAACUGGAAAAUCUCACCGAGCAACCUGAAAAUCUGAUACCACUUGAUAGAGGCAAAGGUGUCCCGAUGUUUCGAUGAGAUAGAUAUCGUUUUCUGUGGGAGUCGACCUUGACGAUCCGACUAUGAACGUGCGAGACGUCGCGCCUUAGCAAUCGCUAAACCAACUUCCGAGGGGUUAUUGACCACGCCGGAGCACGAUCAACCUGACCACGAGGGUCUGUUUCCUGCGAGCAAACAAAGAACAAGCAAGAAACUGAGAUUGCAAUCUGGAUAUUGCGAAUAUAAGAUGAAAGCUUUAUUGAUCAAGGUGGGGUUUUGUGACGUCUUGGUCUGGUCGUUGGACACAAACGAAGUACGAGAAGUUGCAGCUAUGGCGAACUUUUAAUCUAAACAAAAGCCAAAGUCUAAACGAUGCCCUAAGGGCUGUAUAUAUGGAGGAGAGAGGGGGAAUUUCGUGGCCCUUGGUGGAGCGGUCCGAAACCAACCCUAACUCUUCUUUCCCCACACAUACGGACUCUAAAAAUAGCAUAUACUUAAGUACUUCGAAAAUACAUGGGCCUGGCCCAAUAAUAAGGUGGCGCAGCACCUAGAAUAGCCUCUGGACGAAAUUUAUGAAGUGGCAUCUUGUAUAUUUCGUCCCAUGCUUCAUGCACUCCUUAUGGCGGCUUCAAAGUCCUGAAAUCAUCACUUGUAACUCCGUUCUUGUUCUCCUUGCGCAUGCCAUCAUCUCCAUGCUUGAACUUGCUCCAAGGUUCAUCUUUCUUGUCCAAGCUAGGCCCUUCAUUUGUAAGCAAAACAAAUGUAUCCAAUUUAGGAAGCAUCAUAUUCUCAUGAACAUUAGAAUCGUUACCAAGAAACGAAAGUACCUGAUAAUUCAAUUGGCGUGCACGAGCUCUAGUGAUUGGUCCAGUAUGUAUAGCAGCAGGGGCUGUGGGUGUAACAAUGGUAUUGACGUCCUCAUCAAGGAUGGAGGAGAUUUAGACCUUGUUGAUCAACCGUUCUUCCCCUUCAUCAUCCUCAAGGCGGCGACGUUUAAGUCACAAGUCUUCGGAGCGCAAAAAUGAUGCAAGCGCAAGUCGUCCUCGUCCACAUCUCCAUGGCGACCACCAUCACGUUUGUGAUCCACCUAGUCAUGAAGGGAAAGUCACCUCCAAGCAACAUGUGCACGACGACGACGAAUGACAUCUACAUCAGGCUCAAGCAUGAAAAUGACAACAUCAUCAUGAAGAUGCUCGAGAUGCACCUACCUACAAGUCGAAACAAGCCCUACUUCAUGCCAAGUCCAAACUUCAUGACCACAAGAGAAGACCGCGAGACAAGUACCACCAAGACGGAGCUACGGCUACACCAACCACUUUGGCAUCUUCGCCAAGCGACUUCAAGGCAUCUUCGCCUUUGGAUGUAUGGCAUCUUCGCCAACAAGCACCUCAAGACUACGCUCAAGAGAAGCUCCCCAAGCUCAUGUCCGUGACUUCCACGAGCUACUACGACCUCGUCAUUAACCACACGAUUCCUUUCUAUGGGAAUCAAGAACCCGAGGAGUAUCUCGAGUGGGAGCGUUUGAUGGACGAAUACCUCAAGCUACAUCAAGUCCCUUCCGAGGAUCAAGUGAAGUGCGCCACAAGGAACUUCCACGACUACGCGUCCACAUGGUGGCUUCACGCACCUUCAGAGAGCUACGAAAUGAGUUGGCCCAAGAUGAAGAGAGCUUUGCGGCGAGAGUUUGUGGCUCCAACCUACACAGAACAACUUCAACGCCAAUUGGAGAACACCAUCCAAGGAUCCAAGUCCAUCGACGAGUACUUCAAGGAGAUGAAGAUUGCCUUGCGACGAGCCGGCAUAGAUGACCCCAUUUCGAUGAAGUUCCACUUAAUGAUGGGUGUCGGUGUCAAAACCGGCGGAUCUCGGGUAGGGGGUCCCGAACUGUGCGUCUAGGCGGAUGGUAACAGGAGACAAGGGACACAAUGUUUUACCCAGGUUCGGGCCCUCUUGAUGGAGGUAAAACCCUACGUCCUGCUCGAUUAAUAUUGAUGAUAUGGGUAGUACAAGAGUAUAUCUACCACGAGAUCAAGGAGGCCAAACCCUAGAAGCUAGCCUAUGGUAUGAUUGUUGUAUAUGAAGUUGUCCUACGGACUAAAAUCCCCCAGUUUAUAUAGACACCAGAGAGGGUUAGGGUUACACAAAGUCGGUUACAACAGCAGGAGAUCUUGAAUAUCCGCAUCGCCAAGCUUGCCUUCCACGCUAAGGAAAGUCCCAUCCGGACACGGGACGAAGUCUUCAAUCUUGUAUCUUCAUAGUCCUGGAGUCCGGCUGAAGGUAUAGUAUGGCUACCCAAACACCCCCUAAUCCAGGACUCCCUCAGUAGCCCCUGAACCAGGCUUCAAUGACAACGAGUCCGGCACGCAGAUUGUCUUCGGCAUUGCAAGGCGGAUUCCUCCUCCAAAUUCUUCAUAAAAGUUUGUAAACACCAAGAGUAGUGUCCGGCUCUGCAAAAUAAGUUUCCACGUAUUGCCACAGAGAGAAUAAUAUUAACACAAAUCUUAAUCCGCUGACGUACUCUGCAGCGUGACAUCACACUACGGCCAAGCCUUUAUUCGAAUCGUUUUCACUUUUCCACCUCAGCGUGUUUUGCGAGGCGGUUUCCUUGGCAUGUCUUGUCAAAGCAGAGAUCGUGUCCCCUUUAUUUAUGGGAUUCUCAUCAAUACGGACAUGGGUAACCCAAUCGUGCCCGUUAGCAUGUCUUCUCGAUUAAAAGCGAGUCCCAAAUGGUUACGGGGAGGGCUCCUGGUAUUCAACCUCUUAUAAAGAGACCAGGGCCUUACUCCUUUUCCCCAAUCUCAAAACAAGUUCGCCCGUCGCCUCGAGUUCCAACACCCUAGGCUCAAAAUUCCAGGUGCUUCGGACCUUCAACAAUGUCCGGUUCCGACCUUCAAGGCCGAUGGAUGCCUCCCUUCGUCGCGGAGGAGGACGUGCUAAAGUUGAGAGAGGCUAAGUUCUUGACCGCCGAAAUUUCGCAUAGGUUGCCUACUCAAAGGUAGACUAUCCCCAGUCCCCAGCCCGGUGAGAGCGUAGUGUUCAUGUCUCACUUCCUUCAGGGGUUAGGCUUCCCGAUUGAUCCCUUCGUGAGGGGGCUGAUGUUCUAUUAUGGGUUGGAAUUUCAUGACAUAGCUCCGGAGUCCAUCCUCCACAUUUCCUCAUUCAUCAUUGUGUGUGAAGCGUUCCUCCGUGUUACUCCUCACUUCGGAUUAUGGCUCAAGACUUUUGGAGUGGAGCCGAAGAUGAUCGAGGGACGGCACGCAGAGUGCGGAGGCGCUGUCAUAAGUAAGAAUGUUGAUGCUUCAUGGCCCGAGGGCUCCUUUCAAGAGGAGCUCGGCUUGUGGCAAUGAGAGUGGUUCUAUAUCACCGCUCCCAGGAGCGCCAAGUGGGCGGCGCCUCCUGCCUUUCGCUCGGGUCCCCCACCACGGCUAGCGUCAUGGGUCAACAAAGGAUUAGAUUGGGGGUUAUCCAAAGACGUGCCCUUGUUGCAGGGCCGCAUCAGGGAUCUCUUAGAAAGAGACCUCAACCUAGUCAAGGUGACGCAGGUCAUGUUGAUUCGCCGAACACUGCCCGGCAAACGUUGCUCCUUUCGUCUGUGGGAGUUUAAUCCAAAGGGACCACGAGCUCUCCAGCAUUUUAUGGGUGCAACGCCCGCGGAGAUGUAUAAAAUGUUCUUCGGAUCACAAGCAAUGUGUCCGGAUUUGACCGAGGACGCAGGUUUAAGCUGCAAUCGCCCGAAUACUCAAGUAAGUAACCUUGUGCCCGGACUCGCUAUCCGUAAAAUUGUCAUAAAUUCGCCCCUAAAAGAGCUGUCCUUUUAAACAGGAGUGGAUAGCGAAGGCAAAGCUGAUCAGGUGUCCGGCUCCCCUUCCUGAGACCAGGCUGGUUCCCGUGCUAGUCAGGAUGUUGAAGAUCGUGCCUUUGGAGGGAAGUGAGGGAGAGGACAAAGAAUCCAUGGCCUCCUUGAAGGAGGCUGCUCCGAAGGGAGGAACUGUCAAUUCCUCUCCUAAGGGGAAGAAGAGGGCCGCCUCUGACGACCCGGAGACCACGGCCUCAAAGCGGGGGGAAAAGUCCUUGUCAGAGGGUCCGACGCCGGGGAGAUCCUCGGCCGAGCUACGCCCUGAAAGGGAUCAGCCCUCCAGUGAGCCGUAAGUAGAGAAAGAUUUUCCUUUAGAGGGAUGAGAGAAAUCCUUGCUUUUUAUCUGAGAAGAUUAACCGAAAUUUCACUUUGUAGCUCGGACCUCAGCCCUUCUCAACAGAGCUCGUCUUCGGGGGAUCUUCUUCCGGAGAUGAUGGAGAGUGGAACGCCUCCCCCUGCCGUACCGCCUGGCGAGGCGGGCGACCCUGAGGUGUCGUCACGGAGGGUUUCUCCGAAUCCGGCCUUCGAUGGAGGUCAUAGGACGAGUCCGGCACCGUCCGGUGCGCGGUCGGAGGAGCUGAUGAUUCAGCUGGGGCGAGCUUCUAUCUCAGAGGAGCACCGUGCAUUGAUGGGUUCGGUGAUUGGAAGGAUUUCGUCCGCGGGAAGCGGAUUGCAUGAGGUCGUCAGAAGUUUGCUGACGGGUUUUGAAGUACGUUUGAUAAUGUACUUCUUUGUCAGUUGCGCAUAAACAAGAUGCGCCCUGUGUAGAUAGUAGCCCCUGAGACUCUGUGCGUUGUCAAAAUUGACGGCGCGCAGAGGAUCAUAAUCCCAGGUCUAAAAUGUCUCCUUUGUAUAUAGGUGGCGAAGCGUCCGGAAUCGAGCCGAACUGAUGAUUUUGCCGAACUAAAGCAGCAACUUGACGUGGCAGAUGCCGACAUCGCGCUCGUCAACGAGUGGCUUGAUGAGGCUCAAGGUAUGCAAUUCCUCGGGCUGCAUCUGGUAAGAGGAGCGUUAUGCCAGUAUCUUACAAUGUGUGUGCUUGACGCAGAUGGUGCGGACGCCGUGGAGAGUCUCCGGGUGGAACUUGCCCGAGCUAAGCAACAAGCCAGGAAAAGUGAUGCGGCUGCCGAGAAGGCCCUUGAAGAGCUGAGAGCCAAACAGGCUGCUCACUGCCGGAGCAGGAAGGAGGUGGCCGAGAUGGCCGUGAAGUUAAAAAGUGCUGCUGACCAUUGCAAGUUUCUUGAGAAAGAAGGCCGGGCGAGACAGACGGACUUAGAGAAGGCCGUUGCUGAUGCCAAGGAUGCUCGCUCUGCGAUGAGAGCUGCGAAGGAGGAGCUGCGUCAGGCCAGACAGAUUGCGGCUGGAAAGCCCUUUAUGCUACGGAGGAAGUUUUGUAAUCCGAAGUUUGCUCCGUUGGACCAGAUGUGGAGUUCGGAGGACACCUAUCUGGAUUUGGCAGCGAGCGCUGCUGAUGCGACCGAACACUUUUGAGAUCAAGAAGAUCGCGAAGUGGAAAGGCUUUUCUGGUCGCAGUUUCACAAUCCAGAGCGUCCACUGGCAGUGGACGAUCGUCUGGCUCAAUGGGCCGAACUGAAUAGAUUGUCCGGACUCGCCAUGAAGUACGUCAUGGGUCAUCUGUGGCCGGGCAGAUCAGAGCCGAAGAGUUAUUUCAGCUUGGUGCAGCAAUUCCUUGGCGCGGUGCCACAUAUCAAUGCGAUGAAGAGGUCAGCAUGCAUAGAGGGCGCACGGAUGGCUCUUGCCCGUGUCAAAACAUACUGGGCAGAGAUGGAGACCACCGCUGUUGCAUCCCGAGAUUCAGACAAAAGCUGAGUACCCUCCGAGCACUAUUUUCAGGAAGUCCUUAAAGGCGCUCGUGUAAUAGAGGCGCAAUGCUCGAAGGAUGCUAUGUGCUGAUAGCAUAUGUAAUUAUAAAGCAAUAUUUUGAAGAAUUAUAGUAGCCUUUUAUACUUGUGCCUGCAAGUAUUUGGGACACCUCCUGUGUGGCCGUUUUAAGAUAUAUAUACAAAAUCUGAAAGAUUGCAGUCGUUGGCUUCAGCCCCCAUGCACAUAGUGCAGGGGUGCUCGCAGAAGGCGCAUUUUCACACUUAAAGCAACGUCUUGGUCCUACAAAGGAGGUGAUAACGCAGCGAGCUAGGCAACCGGACUAUAAUGCUUUAACACUUUCACUUAGCCAUAGGAGCUUGACAAUGGGACUAUUUAGGUAGCCCCUGGUGGCGACUGCGCUCGCCUGAAUUCGGGGCGCGUGUGUGCCUGGCUGGGAAACGGCCCUUCGUUAAUGCGGAGGAAUCCUAUAGAUUCUGGAGAGUCAUCAAGUGGUUGACCAGUCUCACGCUAUAUCAUGACAGUCGGUUUUCGGCUUUCUCUACUGAGGUGCUCGCCUGGCCGAACCAGGGCACAAUCGCAGUAGUUCUCCUGGUGCCGCCUUAGCCGAUAGAGCGGAACGUAAGGCGGCCGAACACAGGAGCCGGGCAACCCAACAUUUGACCAAAAUCAUGACUCGGAGCUGAUGCAUAUAAGGCCAAAGUCGCGACGCCGAACACUCCCUAAGGUAUUCGGUCUUUAUGAGAGCGGGCGAGGUAACGCCCUGAGGUAUAAGCCCCUAGUGUCCAGGUACGCCAGCCUCCUCCUUGGUCAUAGAACCAGGGGAUGUGUAUCAACAAGAGACAGUAAAAAAGGUUUACACAGGGUCUUAAUCUGAAAAGAAUCCUUGUAACGGGUCCCUACUGCACGUCUGUGCCUGUGUCUCCGUUGUGCCGUAUCCUGGACGGGCGCGGCACGACGUUCAUCUGUAAAAAGAGAGCAACUAAGUUGAAAAAGGGGCGUGCCGAACAAAAAGUUAUAUGAAAUAAACAAAGUGUAAAGUAAAAUAUGAAAAAUUGAGCUUUAUUGUCUCUUAUUUUAUACGUGUGAAGCCCCUAGUACAGGGGUAUAUGGCCACUAAGCCUUUAUCAAUGAUACGUUUGUGCCGGACUCGUCUAUCCGUGUCCGUGGUCUUAAUGACCUGUUCCGAUGUUCUGGCUGGUGAAGCCGUUGUGUUGUGGGGCCGUUAAAGCGGCCGUACAAUCCUCCGCUUGGGGGAGGUGUUCUCACUGCUUCCCCUUUAAGGAGAUGAUGCCGCGUGGACCGGGCAUCUUAAGCGUAAGAGAUGCAUAAUGCGGUAUUGCAUUAAAGCGGGCGAAAGCUUCGCGUCCUAGUAGUGCUUGGUAUCGACUUGAGAAUGGGACGAUGUGGAAAGUCAGCUUUUCGCGACGGAAGUUAUCGGCAGAGCCGAAAAUAACCUCGAGCCGGAGAAAGCCCAUGCAAUGGGUGUCCGGACCUGGCGUUACUCCUUGAAAGGAGGUUUUGCUGUGGCAAAUUCUUUUUGGGUCGAUCCCCAUGUGGCGGAUUGAGUCCUGAUAUAUCAGGUUGACUCUGCUGCCACCGUCCAUAAGGACAUUUGAAAACUGGAGUCCGCCAAUUAUUGGAUCGAGUACUAGGGCAGUCCAGCCUGGGUUCCUGAUACUUCUAGAAUAAUCCAGAUGAUCGAAGAUGAUUGGAUUUCACAACCAGUGGCGGGAUUCCUUUGGGAUAGGCCGUGGGGCGCGUACCUUUAUGGCCGCCGCGUGUUUUGUUAUGUGGAGUAAGUUUACUAUUUUUACUUCUUGUGGAAAAUUCUUUUGUUUCCUGGUACUUUGCUUUUGGGGUUCGUCCUCGUCUUCGCUUGGUGUGUCGAGCCCCUUGUGUUCGGUGUUGAGUCUGCCGGAUUGUUUGAAAACCCAACAAUCUCUGUGGGUAUGGUUAGCAGGCUUUCCGAGAGUGCUGUGUAUUUGACAUAUCCUAUCCAAGAUUUUGUUUAGGUUGGAUAGGUCGUCCCUGUUAUCUUGGAGGGGCGACUUUUUCUGAUUCUGUCGUGAGCUUUUGAAUCCGGCGUUGACUGUCGUGCUCUUCGGACUUUUUUCCUUGGUCUGGUGACGGUCCUUAUUGCGUCGCGGUUUUCCGUUUCCAUCCCUAGUUUUGGAUGUACUUGGGUCACUGGUGCUGCAUCUUGCCAACCAGCUGUCCUCUCCUGCGCAAAAGCGGGUCAUGAGGCUUGUUAGUGCGGCCAUUGUUCUUGGCUUUUCUUGGCCGAGGUGUCUGGCAAGCCAUUCGUCUCGGACAUUAUGCCUGAAAGCCGCUAAGGCUUCAGCAUCCGGACAGUCGACUAUCUGAUUCUUUUUAGUAAGAAAUCUAUUCCAGAAUUGCCGAGCUGACUCUUCGGGCUGUUGAGUUAUGUGACUAAGAUCGUCUGCAUCCGGAGGGCGGACAUAGGUUCCUUGAAAAUUUGCUUGGAAAGCGUCCUCGAGCUCUUCCCAGCUUCCGAUUGUGUUUUAAGGAAGGCUUUUGAGCCAGUGCCGGGCUGGCCCUUUAAGCUUGAGGGGUAAGUAUUUUAUGGCGUGGAGGUCGUCUCCUCUAGCCAUAUGUAUGUGGAAGAUAUAAUCCUCGAUCCAGACUCCGGGAUUUGUUGUUCCAUCAUAUGCCUCUAUGUUUACGGGUUUGAAUCAUGCUGGAAAUUCAUAAUCUAGGACCUCAUCAGUGAAACAUUGGGGGUGUGCGGCACCCCUGUAUUUGGGUGUGCCGGAUUCUGAUAAUUGCUUUAUUGCAUUGCUUACGAGAGCUUGCUUUCUUGGCCCGUAAAUGGACCUGGCUGGGCCAUGAUACGAAUCUUUAAGCGGGUCGCAUGCCGGCUUAAGUGUGGCGCUACUUGCCGCUUUAUGCUAGCCAUGGGGUCGUCUAUCCGACCGUGUGGCUUUCUUACUUUUGGAAUGCGAGGGCUCCGAGGCCUCCUCAUCGAAUUCAGGCAGUAGCUUUCUCUUCGGAUAGCUUUUAGUGUGGCGACUGUCGCCGUAUUUGUCUGCGGUGUUGAUUACUUUACUCCAUCUGAUCCUGAGUGCAUCUUACGCAGUUUUUAGCUUCCGCUUCUGCUUUUUCAGGCUGCAUGCUGUUGCAACGAGCCGUUUGUGGAGGUUCUUCUACUUCGUGGGCUUGUCCGGCGUAGGGUCGUCCGGAAUGCCAUUUUCGCCGGGGGAGGGAUGUUCGGUUUCUCUAUCCGGGUUGUCCUGUUGGGACGGUUGCUCUAAGGCAUGCUCGUUGUCUACCGGCUCUUCCUGCUCUAUGGCUGGGUCUUUAUCGAGGCGGGGCUUGGGUCGGCGUUUACGCCGAUGCUUUGAUUGUUUUUCGAGAGAUCGAUCCCUCUUUCCAUACCCGUUUUCCUCGUUGUUGCUUCCUUUAGGGGUAUCCACCAUGUACACAUCGUGAGAUGAGGUGGUUGUCCGAUGCCCUAUAGGCGUUGGUUCUUGGUUGUCUCCUGCAUCGUCGUCCAUACCAUCAAUGUCUUCAGAGUCGAAGUCGAGCAUGUUGGUUAAGUCGUCGACAGUGGCUACGAAGUGGGUGGUGGGUGGGUUUUGAAUUUCUUCAUCAUCUGAAUCCCAUCCUUGCUGACCGUAGUCCGGCCGGGGCUCUCCUGAUAAAGAGAGAGACUUUAGCGAAUUCAGGAUGUCGCCGAAGGGCGAGUUCUGAAAGAUGUCCGCGGCGGUGAACUCCAUUAUCGGCGCCCAAUCGGAUUCGAUCGGCAGGGGUGCGGGGGGCUCGGAGUUCGGAGAGGAAUCCGGCUCCUCGGAGUCACGGGCCAUGCGGAGUGCGGGGCUGGAGUUCGGCUCGAUCCCCUCUGAGAUCGCAGCCCCUGAGGCAGCGUUCAACCGCUGAUCCUCGAUCGGCGCGGUAGGUUCUGAAUCAAUGGUCGGAACUGAUGCGUGUGCGGCCUCCAAGGCGUUGUUCGGUAGCAGAGCUAUAUCAUGCCCAUCGAGACAGUGCGGCGCGCUUGGCUGUGGCUCAAAUCCGUCGAAGAUCAAGUCCCCACGGAUGUCGGCCGUGUAGUUUAGGCUUCCAAACCUGACCUGAUGGCCAGGGGCAUAGCUAUCGGUCUGCUCAAGGUGGCCAAGCGAAUUGGCCCGCAGUGCGAAGCCGCCGAAGACGAAGAUCUGUCCGGAGAGAAGGGUCUCACCCUGGACUGCAUCGUUGUUGAUGAUCGAAGGAGCCAUCGGGCCUAAAAGCGAAGACACAGAGGAACUCUCAAUGAAAGCACCAAUGUCGGUGUCAAAACCGGCGGAUCUCGGGUAGGGGGUCCCGAACUGUGCAUCUAGGCGGAUGGUAACAGGAGACAAGGGACACAAUGUUUUACCCAGGUUUGGGCCCUCUUGAUGGAGGUAAAACCCUACGUCCUGCUCGAUUAAUAUUGAUGAUAUGGGUAGUACAAGAGUAGAUCUACCACGAGAUAAAGGAGGCUAAACCCUAGAAGCUAGCCUAUGGUAUGAUUGUUGUAUAUGAAGUUGUCCUAUGGACUAAAAUCCCCUGAUUUAUAUAGACACCGGAGAGGGUUAGGGUUACACAAAGUCGGUUACAACGGUAGGAGAUCUUGAAUAUCCGCAUCGCCAAGCUUGCCUUCCACGCCAAGGAAAGUCCCAUCCGGACACUGGACGAAGUCUUCAAUCUUGUAUCUUCAUAGUCCUGGAGUCCGGCUGAAGGUAUAGUCCGGCAACCCGAACACCCCCUAAUCUAGGACUCCCUCAAUGGGAUUGCACAACGACAUCUCCAAGAUGAUCUUCCUCGAGAACUACAAGUCCCUCGACGACAACUACAUUGGUGCUCUCAAGGCGGAACAAGAACUCAUGAAGGCCAAACUUUCUCCACCCCAAGCUCACUUCGCAACGACCAAGCUCCAUGAGAACGAGCAUGAGGCUACUACCACCACGAUGUCCAAGCCCGACGAGCUCCAAGACGAUACUCCCAAGUUCGACGCCAUCCCUCUUUGUGGCAUUGACGAUGCCGAGUCCUCCAUGACUCUUUUUCAAGACGGGGCGGCGAGGAGUACGACUACGGAGACCCUCAAGGACCAAGCUUUGGAGGCGAGGGACAUGGUGGCGAUCAAGGAUGAUGCUUCCAUCUUAGGAGGCGAGACUGAUGAUGUGCCAUCUUCGGCCUUCAACCAUGGAGAGACUGAUGUUGUGCCAUCUUCGGCCUUCAUCCACGACGACGACUACGAGACGGUUGAGCAUGGGAUUUCACCACUAGCCCCAUAUAUGAUGUGUUUCCACUAUUCCCAUGUGAGGAGAGCCACAACCCCCACCUCUAGAGUGAGAUGAGUGUCUCCACCAUAUGUGAGUUUGAGUGCACCUAUUUUGAGGGAGUGAGUGAACCACCACAUAGAGAGAGUGAGAUAGUUGAUAGGUCAUGUGAGGCCACUUUUAACAGUAAUGACUUGACCUCCACCUCUAUUGUGUCUUCUCAUUUGGUGCUAGGUCCCUUAUAUGAUGAUGCGCCGCUUCUCGAUGACUUCGUCCUACCUUUGGACAAGACGAUGGCCAUGGUGGAAUCUGAUGCACCCCCCACAUGCUUCCAUCACAAUGAUGAUCUUGACCACCAUUUGGUCUUUCCCACCUCACCUACACCACUUGAGUGGAAUGAACAAUGUAACAUAGGUGAAGGUGAUGCUCUAGUCCCACUAGUGGACAUUCAUGACAUUGAUUGCUUGCAUGAUGUUGAUCCCCCUAUUGACAUGCUUCAUGCUAGUAUGAUUUCCCCAUGCGAUGAUUUACCCAUUUAUGAUGAGUAUGAUGAUUGGCAUGUGGAGUCUUUUAGUUGUGAUGCCAUGUUACAUAGGAUUUCUUGUGCUAAUUCUCUCGGUCACAUCAUGCUUGCCAAUCCACUUGACUUGUCAUAUGCUAUGCAUGAGAUCAAUCAUAUGUCAUAUUUGCAAUCUCUUCAUAUUGACUAUGCAUAUGCUAUUAAAAUGAACCCAAUUUGCACAUAUGGCAUACAUGACAAGCCUAUGGUUAUUCGCAUUUGUUUCUCUUGUGAUGAUAUUGACAUGCUACCUUUGCAUCAUUUAUCUCAUAUGCCAUGCCAUAACCACCUAGCUUCGGAUAUGCAUUGUUUUGGAUGUUGUCCAUUUUCUCCAUAUGAUGUUCCCAUUAUUGCUCAUGAGGAGACCCCCAUAGUUUCCUCAUACAUGUUUGGAGAUUUUGAUCACUCCAAUCCAUUGCAUGAUCCCAAUACUUAUGUGCAUAAUAUGCUUCCCAUGAAUAAACAUGCUAUUGAUGUGCCAUUUACUUGUAUGCUCAAUUUUCAUCCCCAUCAUGUUAUGCACAAUAACUAUUCUAUCAUGAUGGAUGACAUGUUCUUAUACCAUGCAUCAAAUUUCUUUGACCGAUGCUUAUCUUGUGCUAACUCACACGUGCACAUACACAUCAUGAUGGAUGAUGUGUACAUUUACCACACGCACAAUUUCUUUGGUUUGUGCCUCUUUUGUGUAGGUACCCAUGAAUUCUUGUCAACCUCGCAAUCCCACGAGUUGACAAAACGAGCUCUAGAGAGCAACGAUGAGUUGUGAUCCCAUGGAUUGCAUUUCCCGCCGCUCUCUUCACGCGAAGUCUUCGUGCAUUUAUUCUACAUGUCCCUCACAUGGUUAUGGAUUAUUGUCCAUUACAUAUUCUAUGCCCAUCUUGCCAUGUUCACUUUGCAUGAUAUGCUCAUUCCCAUGACUUUGCCAUGCAUUUGUGAGCCAUGCUUUGCAUUACACAUGAUGAUUGAUUCUCAUACUUGUAUGUGUAUUUGCAAGCUUGGUGGAGAUAUCACUUGUUAUUGCCAUAUUUGCUUUGUGCCCCAUGCCUAUGAUUACACUAUGAUCUUGCUUUGUGUUCGUGCUUGCGAUAUGUCAUGUGCAUUGUCUAUGUCUAUUAUUUGCUCACAUGACAUGAUUGCCAUGAUUUCCUCUAGUAUGUUGCAUCUUCGCACUACUAGCUUGCAUGACUCGGUUACUAUGCUUGACUUGAUUGCCUCACACAUGAUGAACAAUUGCUCUUUCUAUUGUGUUGAGUGCCACACGAUAUUCACUACACCCAAUUCACAUUAUGCUUGGAUUGUCUUGCACUUGACACAUGUGUUUAGACACUUCAUUUUAUUUUGUGUUGUGAAUGAUUCCUAUGCCUACCAUAGACCUUUCAUUGAGCAAUUUGUGAAUGCUUGCUAUGAACUUGAGGUAGAUGCUUCUUCAGUUGUCCAACAUAUUUGCAUCAAUACCUCACAUUUACAUGCUUGUCCCCAUGAUAUCCUUGAUUAUGCUCAAUUUAUGUGCUUACAUGCCAUGUCACAAUCCUUUGUCACACCAUAUGCUAUGCUUGAUGACAACACUUGUUGGGUGAAUCACCUCUUGAAUGCUUGGUUUUGCACUAACGCUAACCGCAUUUGUUUUUCCAAGUGUUUGUUCUCCUUGCUCCUUUUGAAGGAAUCACGAGACGGUGCGACAUUGGAGAGUGCCCAUUUCGAUCUUCAAGAUGACAAGAACUUGGUGAUCGACCACUCCUACACGGCGACGCCAUCUCUUUCCCAUGGUGAUUUGGAUUUCGAUUCAAGGUCUGAUCUUUCCCAGGGGAGGGGAGAUGAUGCAGAGCAUCCUACGGGCAUCACCAUGUCAAGAGUACAUUUGGCAAGUGACACAUGCGACAUCUACUUCUCAUACCUAAAGGUGAAUCUUCCCCUUUGCAUGUGUUCAUUUGACCCCUUUAUGGAUGGUAUACUACUUGACACCCCUAUCGUGUGCAUGCGUAUGUAUUGUCGGAACUUAACGGAUGACGAGGAGGAGUGCAAGCGCCAAGGAAUACCUACACCACCCGCGAGGUAAGCCUAGAAGAGAAGAUGGAAGAAGAAGGAGCUGCAGAGUCUUCAGCGACCGGACGACCGGAAGCCACCGGACGUCCGACCCUCUACAGCCGCCGGACGACCGACAACACCGGACGUCCGACAAGUCCCAGGCACCGGACGUGCGACGCUUACUGGAAAUCCGGUGCCACCUGUCUCGAGAAGAAUCAGCGGACGUCCGACGCGCGCCGAACGUCCGGUCCGUCCUGAGCCACCGGACGUCCGACCCCCACCGGUCGUCCGGUACCUGCCUGUGUGCAGCCGCGGGCCUUUGGCCUUGUACCUCGCUCCCACUUACCCCUUCGUGGCUAAGACUAUACAUAGACCAGCUCCACCUCCUUUCUAAGGACAGCGUUAGUUUAGCUCAUUUGAGAGAUAGAGCUACGCUCAUCCAUAUUGGAUCUACUCCACGAGAGAGACCGCGGCCUCUACGGAGAAGAUCCACCUUGGAUUCAAGACCUCCUUGCGGAGAAGAUCAUCAAGACCCCGUCUUGGGCGGCCCCCUCAAGACCUCCUCACGAAGAAGACCGUUAUCUCUUGUAUCGUCCGUCGUUGACUUUGGAUCUUGUAUCUUUUUUUGUGUUUCGAGGAUCUAGCACAUGUGUGACUAUUUCUUGUUGGUUGAGUGAUUCUCUCGUGUUCCCCAUCGUGAUUUCCCUCGUUUUCCCCUUCGUGUUCCUCAUGAUCUUCGCGGGAUCCGCUCCUUUCGUCAAAGAUCGGGCGAUUAGGGUUCUACCCUACAUCAGAGCUUCUCUUGAGCAUAGUCUUGAGGUGCUUGUUGGCGAAGAUGCCGUAUGUCCAUAGGAAAAGAUGCCUUGAAGUCGCUUGGCAAAGAUGCCAAAGGAGGUGGUGAAGUCAUUGAGCGGUUGUUGGUGUUGAGCUCUUGACCUUCACGUCCUUGUUGGUGAUGGUGUCGAUGCCGAUGUGAUCUUGCCGGAGAUGGUAGCUCGGAGGCAUGUGCUCUUGAGCAUCUUCUCGAAGAUGAGGAAGACCGCUUGUAGGAGUUGAUGAGGGCCUUGAUCUCCUCAAUUUGAGCUUGCAUCUUGGCAUCGAUGGAGUUGUUCAUGGCAUCGAACUCGUCGUUGUUGUUGUAAACCGAAGAUGAAAUGCCUUGCCUAUCCAUCACUCCAAGAGAAAAAUGUGAGUGGUAGAAAGAGAAGAACGAAUACCAAAUGUACGUUGACCGAAGUUGAAAGUGGAUCAAUGAUCACUCCAAUGUGGACAAGGCAAUAGCACAAUUGGUACCAAUUCUUAUCGGUUUCUCACACCUACACAAGUAAGGCUUAUGGUGGAGCUCGGUGAGGAUAGUGGCACAAAAAUUUGAUGUAAAAUGUUAGCAAGAGUCAAUAAUGUUGAAAGAUAUUCACAAAUUCGCAAGUGUAACAAGUAGACCAAUAGCAAUGUGUGGCACACGGAAACACACACACGGAUAGAGAAAUGGGGUCGUGCAACCAAGGAUGAGCAUAAAAUGUGGAAUCCACGGAAAACACUCGUGUUACACAACUCAAGAGAGACGCUUGCAUGAUUGCUCUAUAGGCGGAUACGGCACUUGUGCACAACCUAUAAGAUGCAAAAUGGAUAAACUUUCUAUCCCAAGUAUGCUAUGUAUGUAUGGUUCCCGGUGUUUGAUCCAACAUGAUCGGAUAUGAAAAUCUUAUGCAAUGUGGUGGAUGCUAUGGCUAUUGCUUACAACCUUCUUUGCUCUUUCUCUUUUGCUUAAAAGCCUAUAUUUUUUUAUAUAUCCACUUUGCGAAAUGCACAAACCAAGAUAGUAAUUGUGUAUAUUCGGAAACAAACUUGAGGCACACGAGAUGAUAUGACACCAAUAUGAUAUGGUAUGUAUGCAAUGUAUGGUGUAGAUCACUAACGUGCACAAGUAACGUUGCCGGCAAUACUCGAAUGGCUAGUCUCGAUAGGCAAGUAACGCAAAAUGGGCUAGGGGUUAACAAUGCAAUUGCAAGGGGAAUGUACAAUGGAGGGGUACCACAUUACCAAGAUGAUAUGGAGGUUACCGUCCUUGGCAAUGAUGAGUAGCGGUGUUCUUGAUGUAGAUACCAAGAUGAUGGAGACUCGUCCCUAAGUAGCCGAAGCACCUUAGGAAAUGGAAAAACCGCGAACUCAAAAUCUCAAAUGUCAAAUGUCAAAAUGGUGGCAGCGGGAUGUGGUGGUGGUUGCGGAAGCUCAAAGGGAUUAUGGAAAUGCAAUGAUGGGUUGUGGAGUACGCAAUGCGGAAGUGGAGGUUAUGGUGGUGUACUAUACACAGUGUCGGAGUUGGAAGCAUGGUCCCUAAGUAGCCGAAACACCUUAGGAGACACAACUCACAACACAAACAAAAUUGGGUUAAGUUGAGGUGGCGGAAGUGUAUGGUGGGCAAGGUUAUGCGGAGGUGGUGGUGGUGGUUGAUGAAGAAGCAACCAUCCCUAAGUAGCCUAGACACCUUAGGAGACUCAAAUCACUUCUCAAGCAACCACUAAUGCGAUGGGGAACAAAAUUGGUUAGGUUGCGGAAGGCUAUGGUGGUGUAGCGGAUGAUAUGGUGGAGGGCCUAGGCAAACUUGCCAAAUUCAGAAAAUUUGAUGGAGUCAAAUGAUGUUGGUGGUAUUUUUGUGGUAAGGGGGAUGUCAAGAGCUUCAAAACGAGCUAAAGAACGUUAAAAACGGAGUUCGGAUGAAUUAGUUAUGGCCGAAACAAUAAUCAGCCGAAGUUGAUAUCUACAGGUAGCGGAUGUCCGGAAAAAACGGUCGUCCGGUCGCCGGACGUCCGGUCGGGUCGGAAAUCCGCUGAUUCUUCUCGGGUUAGGGGGUUCCGGUAAGGUCGGACGUCCGGUGGUUCCUGCGGCUCCGGACGUCCGGUAAGGUGACGGUCGUCCGGUGUAUCGGGGUCAACUCCAGAUCCGAGAUUCGGGACGCGAUUUUGGGCGGAAUUUGGGGAUUUUGGGGUCAAAAUUGAUGAGAUUUCGUGGAUGAAAGAUGGAGAAACUUGGGGAGAUGCUAUAUCCACUCGAAACCAAGCAAAUCCAUGGAUCAAAAUCAACAAAACAUCAUCAAACCAACAAAUCACAAAAAAAAAUUGGGGCUAUUUUUGGUGGGGAUUUUCGAAUUUAGGACGAAAUCAAGCAAAAGAAGGCUAGAAAACGGUGGGGGAGGCUCCGAAUCGUGAUUAACGUGGCUCAUGAUACCAAGAUGGUGUAGGGUAGAACCCUAGUGGCCCGAUCUUUCACGAAAGGAGAAGAUGCCGCAAAGAACGUGAAGAACAUGAGGAGGGAAACGAGGGGAAAAUCACGAGGGGAACACAAGAGAACACUCAAACCAACAAGAAUGAUCACACAUGCGCUAGAUCCAUGAACACAAAGGGAGAUACAAGAUCCAAAGUCAACAACGGACGAUACAAAGGGUAGCCGGUUAUUCUCCGUGAGGAGGUCUUGAAUCCACAAGGGGAUCUUCCCGUAAAGGGGUCUUGAAUAGAAGGUGGAUCUUCUCCGAAGAGGGGCCACGGUCUCUCUCAAGGAGUAGAUCCAAUAUGGAUGAGCGAAGCUCUAUCUCACAAAUGAGCUACCACAACGCUGACCCUAGAAAGGCGGAGGGAGAGGUCUAUUUAUAGUCUUAGUGUAAAUACAUGGGCCUCAACCCGCAACUGGACACAGUCAGGGGUCAGACGUCCGGUGGGCGUCGGACGUCCGGAGACUCACGGGCGGCCAGACGUCUGGUAGACGUCGGACGUCCGCUCGAUUUGGCUCGGACGCAGGAGUGCCGGAUUUCUGGAGGGGGCCAGUCGUCCGGUCGUCGGCCGCCGCUGGCGUCGGACGUCCGCUCAUUUGGCUCGGGUGCGGGAUCGCCGGUUGUCCGGUCUGGGCUGGUCGUCCGGUCCAGGCCGGUCGUCCGGUGGAUCUUUAGGCGCCGGACGUCCGGACCCGACCGGUCCUCCGGUGGCCGGAGCUUCUUCGACAGCUCUUCUUCUUUCAUCUUCGUUUCCACGCUUCCCUCGCGGAUGGUGUAGUUGUUCCUUGGCGUUUGCACUCCUCCUCAUCAUCCGUAGUGUUCCGACAAUACCUAUGCAUGCACACGAGUGGAGUGUCAAGUAGUAUACCAUCCUCGAAGGGGUCAAGUGAGCACGUGUAAAGGAGACGAUUCACCUUUAUGUAUGUGAAGUAGAUGUUGCACGUGUCACUUGCCAAACAGACUCUUAACAUGGUGAUGUCCAUAGGAUGCUCCGCAUCAUCUCCCCUCCCUUGGGAAAGAUCCAACCUCGAAUCAAAAUCCAAAUCACCAUGAGAAAGAGAUGGCGUCGCCGUGUAGGAGUGGUCGAUCACCAAGUUCUCAUCAUCUUGAAUCUCGAAAUGGGCACUCUCCAAUGUCGCACCGUCUAGUGAUUCCUUCAAAAUGAGCAAGGACAACAAACACUUGGAAAAACAAAUGUCGUUACCGUUAGUGCAAAACCAAGCAUUCAAGAGGUUAUUCACCAAACAAGUGUCAUCAUCAUGCAAAGCAUAUGGUUUGACAAAGGAUUGUGACAUGGCAUAUAAGCAUAUAAAGUGAGCACAAUCAAUGAUAUCAUGGGGACAAGAAUGUAAAUGUGAGGUAGUGAUGCAAAUAUGUGUGGCAAGAGAAGAAGCAUCUACCUCAAGUUCAUAGCAAACAUGGGUAAAGCGCUCAAUGAGAGGUCUAUGGUAGGCAUAUGAAUUAUUGACAACACCAAAAGAAAUGAAGUGUCUAAACACAUGGCUCAAGUGCAAGACAAUCCAAGCAUAACGUGCAUAGGGUGUAGUGAAGAUAGUGUGGCACUCAACACAAUAGAAAUAGCAAUUUUUCAUCAUGUGUGAGGCAAUCAAGGCAAGCAUGUAGCAAUUAAUGGGACAUGGCAUAUGUGAAGUGAUGACAUUGUUGCAACCAAACAUAUGAGAGGAGCAAGUAAUCCAAGAAUUGGAUGCAACACACAAGGCAUAGAUAUCAUGAUGCAUGGAAUAGUGAAAAUGACAAGUCGAAGCAAGAUCUCUAACAAGUGUGCAAUCAAGUGGUCCAAGUCUCAUGGUGCAAGCAACACAAGUAGUAUGAUCAACAAUAUUCAUGCUCAUGGUUUUGGGAUUCUCAAAAGAGAAGGAUAUCACCUUGAAAGCAUGUCCUUGUGUGUCCUUCACAAUGCCGAAGUACAAGCAAGUGCGAUGUAGAAUCAUCAUAGUAGGAGGUGGUUCGCUCUCAAGAGCUCGGAUUGUCAACUCACGUAACGUGGAAGUUGACACGAAGUCCAAGUAUCCUACACAUGCACACAACAGAAGAAAGAACGUAUGUGCAUGGUUGAUAAACACAUCAUCCAUCAUGAUGGUUCUCUUCUCUAGCACAUAACCAUUAGAAGCACAAGUGCGUGAAGAAUAUGAUGCAAAAAUGGCAAUAUUCAUGGCACUAGGUAUAUGGUGCAAAGAGGUAAGACAAGCAUGCUUCAUAAGGAAUAUGUCAAAAUCUCCAAAUAUAUGUGAGAAUGCUAUGGGGGCAAACUCAUUAUCAAGACUAAAUGCAUAAUUGCACUCAAUACAUGGUAAAUCAUCUAGCAUGAGAGAGGCAACAUAUGGAGAUAUAUGACGGCAAGCAAUAACAAUCAUGUGCAAAGCAUGUAGAUGGUUGUCAUCAACCGCAUGAAGCGAGAAAGUUUAAGUCAUCGGUGAUGCAACAAGGCAGGGAAACAUAGUAAUCAAGUCGUGCAAGCUAGUAGUGCGAAGAUGCAACAUACUAGAGUAAAUCAUGGCAAUCAUGUCAUGAGAGCAAAUAAUAGGCAUAGACAAUGCACAUGACAUAUCGCAAACACGAACACAAAGCAAGAUGAAAGUAUCAUCAUAUGCAUGGGGCACAAAGCAAACAUUGCAAUAACAAGCAAUAUCUCCACCAAGCUUGCAAAUACACAUACAAGUAUGAGAAUCUAUCAUCAUGUGUAAUGCAAAGCAAGAGUCACGAAUGCAUGGCAAAAGCAUAGUAAUGAGGAUAGCAUGCAAAGUGAACAUGGAAAGAUCGGCAUAGAAUAUGUAAUGGACUAUAAUCCAUAACCAUGUGAGGGACAUGUAGAAUAAAUGCACGAAGACUUCGCGUGAAGAGAGCGGUGGGAAAGUCAAUCCAUGGGAUCCCAAAUCAUCGUUGCUCUCUAGAGCUCGUUUUGUCAACUCGUGGGAUUGCGAGGUUGACAAGAAUUCAUGGGUACCUACACAAGAGAGACACAAACGAAAGAGAUUAUGCGUGUGGUAAAUGUACACAUCAUCCAUCAUGAUGUGUAUUUGCACGUGGAAGUUAGCACAAGAUAAGCAUCGCUCAAAGAAAUUAGAUGCAUGGUAUAAAAACAUGUCAUCCAUCAUGAAAGAAUAGUUAUUGUGUAUGACACGAUGGGGAUGCAAAUUUAGCAUACAAGUAUAAGGAUCAUGCAAUGGAUGGGAUGAAUCAAAAUCUCCUAAAAUGUAUGAGGAAACUAUGGGGGUCUCCCCAUGAGCAAUGUUGUAAACAUCACAUGGAGAAAAUGGACAACAUCCAAAACAAUGCAUAUCCGAAGCUAGGUGGUCAUGGCAUGGAAUAUGAGAUAAAGGAUGCAAAGGGAGCAUAUCAAUAUCAUCACAAGAAAAACAAAUGCCAAUAACCACGGGCUUGUCAUCUAUGCCAUAAGUGCAAAUUGGGUUAAUCUUAAUGGCAUAUGCAUAGUCACUAUGAAGAGAUUGCAAAUAUGACAUGUGGUCGAUCUCAUGCAUAGCAUAUGACAAGUCAAGCGGAUUGGCAAACAUGAUGUGACCUAAGGAAUUGUCACAAGAAAUCCUAUGCAACAUGGCAUCACAACUAAUAGACUUCACAUGAGAAUCAUCAUACUCAUCGUAAAUGGGUAAAUCAUCGCAUGGGGAAGUCACACUAGCAUGAAGCAUGGAAAUAGGUUGAUCAACAUCAUGCAAGCAAUCAAUGUCAUGAUAGUCCACUAAUGGGACAAGAGCAUCACCUUCACCUAUGUUACCUUUGUCAUUCCACUCACGUGGGGUAGGUGAGGUGGGUAAGACCGAAUGGUGGUCAAGAUCAUCAUUUGAUGGAACCAUGUGGGGGGUGCAUCAUAUUCCACCAUGGCCAUCGUCUUGUCCAAAGGUAGGACGUAGUCGUCGCGAAUCGGCGCAUCAUCACAUAUGGGACCUAGCACCAAAUGAGAAGACACAAUAGAGGUAGAGGUCAAGUCGUUAGUGUUGAAAGUGGCCUCACAUGACCUAUCAACUAUCUCACUCUCUCUAUGUGGUGGUUCACUCACUCCCUCAAAGUAGGUGCACUCAAUCUCAUGUAUGGUGGAGUCACUCAUCUCACUCAAGUGGUGGGGGUUGUGGCUCUCCUCACAUGGGAAUUGGGGUAACACAUCAUAUAUGGGGCUAGUGGUGAAGUCACUGUCACUCUCAAUAUGGUGGCAAAGGUCACUCAAGUUAUCAUACGUCGCCGUGGUCGAAGGGAAAAUCCCAUGCUCAACCAUCUCAUCGCCGUUGCCAUGGAUGAAGGCCGAAGAUGGCACAUCAUCACUCUCGCCUCCUAAGAUGGAAGCAUCAUCCUUGCUCGUCACCUUGUUGCUCGCCUCCAAGGUUCAUCUUUCUUGUCCAAGAUAGGCCCUUCAUUUGUAAGCAAAACAAAUGUAUCCAAUUUAGGUAGCAUCAUAUUCUCAUGAACAUUAGAAUUGUUACCAAGAAACGAAAGUACCUGAUAAUUCAACUGGCGUGCGCGAGCUCUAGUAAUUGGUCCAGUAUGUAUAGCAGUAGGGGCUGUGGGUGUAACAAUGGUAUUGAUGUCCUCAUCAGCUGUUGAAUCUCUUUCGUUCUCAUCAACUUAACUCAUUUGCAGUGUUCCUUGAAGACAAAUUGCAUACCUCGUCAAAAAAUUUGAUUGUUCAAAAUCCUCACAUGAAGAAUACGGCUGAUGGUAAAAGACCUCAGAAGGGAGGAAAGACACGAGAAGUGAAUACUACUUUGGAAAUCCCUAAUGAUAUCUAUGCAGGGUACUGCACUCCUGAUGAAGUAACUCAUGGCAAAGAGACGAAGAAUGAGCGCAAAGUGCGCAUUCAGAGGAUAGAGAGGAGAUGGGCCAGAGAAUGGAGGGAGUACAGAUAUGUGACUCCAAAGUACAAGAAGAAAUUCAUCGUACACCCUCCAUGCCCAAGACCUCCAUUGGCACCAGGCCAAGUUGCUGAUCUCACCAGCAUCAAAAGUGGUGAGGAUUUCCCCAAGGAGUGGGCCAAGCGGCAAGCUAAGUUGGCCAAAGUGGCCAAAGAAGCAGUGAAGAAAUUCAAUGAAGAUCCUACUGCUGCCGCUGCUGAGGCCUCUACUAGCAAGCCUAAGAAGGCAAUGCUGAAGAUACCUGCUGCCAAGCUAAGUUCCUCAGUUGCUUCGUCAUUCCAGAUGAAAGUGAUGAUGAAAAUCCUUCUGCUGCUUCAUCAGAGAAGUUGGAUGAAGAAAUUUAAGUGGAUAAUACCCCUUCUACUCCGCUGGCAUCAUCGCCCAUGCCUCAAUUCACAGCUGAAGAGGUCGGCCUUGAAGAAAUUGAUGAAGAAGAUGAGGAUGUGGACAUUGGGUCAACAACUCCUAUUCUGAAUGAUGACUACUAGGAAAGUCAUCACCCCAAUUCACCUCUGACAACUCCUCUACAUCAACUUCCUCAGUCCCAGAUCCAAACAGAAGAAGUUCAUAUGGGCUCUGAAGGACAUCAAGCUUCACCUCUAUCUAUUCUAGAAGAAGUUCUAGUCGCUAGUGCUGAAGAAAUGGAGGCCAAUACUACUGUUGAUGAAACUGCUACUGAAAUUCCUCAUCCUGUGGCUCCACAGGUUGUGCAUCAAGAGGUUGUGAAAACUUCAACUAACAAUCUUAAGCCCAAUCCACAUAAUCCUCACACCAAGAAGCAAAAAUUCAAAGAUGAUGACCUCUUUACUGAGUAUCAUUUCUUCUCUGACUACAAUCCUUAUGACUCUGCCCAACUUCGUCGCAAGCGUUUCAGGACGGACAGUCAAAUGAAUUUCAAUUCCUUGCUGUUGUUUGAUAAGGACAAGAUUUUUGACCAUGAGCAAAUUCCUCAUGUGGAUAUGCAGUCUCUUCCAUGCUUCACGCCAGUCCUCAGUGUUCUUCAUGAUGCUGGGCUGCUCAACUUCUGCACCGACAUCUGUGACUGGAAUGAAGAACUCAUUCUUCAGUUCUAUCCCAUGUUGCACAUCACUGGCAAUGUUGAAGAUGUGAAUUCAUGGGUUCUUUACUAGAUGACCAAAAACACUCAUUACAAAGCUACGACCUCUGAAUUGCUUCACGUCGUCCCAGUAAGUCCUCCCACUGAAGGUGCGAGGCUCAUUAAUGCAGAACCAGAACUUUCAAAUCAUCUGAUGCAAGUGCUGAUGAAGCCAAUGAAGCCUGGCAAAGCUCCAAGGACCACAUUCCUCAUCAACAAAUUGCUUUAUGUGCCAAGGACUGUCUAUCGCAUAUUGACCAAAACCCUUAGUCCGAUCAAGGGCCACAACUCUGACGAAGAAGAGGUUGUUGGCACAAUGAAGAAUCUGCUAUUCAAUAUCAUACAUGGUAUUCCUAUCAACUACCAUGAUUUCUUCAUGACUUACGCUCCCUAGAUUAUGAAAUUUAUCAAAUCAAGGUCUUUAACUCAUUACAAGGCUGAUUGUCAAAAUCAUCUUAGCUACUUGCCACCCAUUAAAGUCCUCAAAAGGAUUAUUUCCUCAGCUGAUGAGAAGGGUAAGGCUGCUGUCAUUGAUGAAGGCACUCGUCCAUUGGAUGGAAAGUUUCGCAAAGCUACAUCAUAUUCCACCAAUGACAACUCUGUAACGCAUGAUACUGCCGCAAAUGCUUCAAAGCAAUAUCCUCAAGCCACUGCUCCGCGUGUGAUGACUGGCCGUGAGCUUCUCCUCACUCUACAUCAAAAAGUUGAUAGAAAUCACAAGUGGGUCAAGCGUCAGUUUGGUGCAAUUCUUCAGAACAUGACAGUCACUCAGAAUAUUGUGAAGAAGAACCACUACUACUUGCAUGAAGUAUUUGACCACACUUGAGCUAUUCUGUCUAACCUCUACAGUGCCGAAGAUCUCAAGGAGAUGAACUUCCAACAGGACUUUGACUGGGCACAACCACCUUCGAAGAAAUUCAAGAGAGUCAAAGUUCCUCACUUGGUCGCCAGCUCAUAUUCCUCAUCAUGCGAGAUGGAUGAAGCUGAAGAUUUGACCAACACCACGACAGGCGCUACUCCAACGGACGACCCCAACAAUGUUGGCACUCCUCCAUCGACAUCUUGAUGAUAUUCUUCAGGGGCGUUAGUCCUCAUUUUUAGUCCCUUUUGGUCAUUCGAUGACAAACGGGGAGAAAUGUGAGUUAGUCUUCAAGCGGGUCUCUAUAUAUGGGCAUUUUUUUGUUAAGUUACAACUCCAUGUGGUAUGUACUAUUUUGUUCGCAUGCCAUUCAGAUUAAAGAGUGCCGGGUCCACUUUUACAAGGGCAGUCCAGAUUGGUUUUGAGCCACGGCUGCACAGAAACAUAGAAGCCUAUAUGGAUGAUAUUGUGGUCAGGACCAAGGAUAGGGCCACCCUUAUUCAUGAUUUGGAAGAGACAUUUGCUAAUCUGCGCAAGAUCAAUUUUAAGCUCAACCCAUAGAAGUGUGUAUUUGGUGUUCCCUCUAGCAAGUUGCUUGGGUUCAUUGUGUCACAUCGCGGGAUCAAAGCCAACCCUGACAAGAACAAAGUUAUCGAGCAGAUCCAAGCACCAAGGAUAGUUAAGGAUGUAAGGCGUCUAACAGGAUGCGUUGCCUAUAUGGAUGAUAUUGUGGUCAGGACCAAGGAUAGGGCCACCCUUAUUCAUGAUUUGGAGGCGACAUUUGCUAAUCUGCGCAAGAUCAAUUUGAAGCUCAACCCAUAGAAGUGUGUAUUUGGUGUUCCCUCCGGCUAGUUGCUUGGGUUCUUUGUGUCCCAUUGCGGGAUCGAAGCCAACCCUGACAAGAUCAAAGCUAUCGAGCAGAUCCAAGCACAAAGGACAAUUAAGGAUGUAAGGCGUUUGACAGGAUGCGUUGCCUCGCUAAGCAGAUUCAUCUCCAAGUCUGCUGAGCGCGCCCUGUCGUUCUUCAAAAUUCUGAAGAAGGCACCCCGGAAGCAGAUGCACCUUUGUAAGAGUUGAAGGCCUACUUAUCCUCUGUGCCUACCCUGAUUUCUCCCAAACCCCAGAAUCGUUGCUGUUGUACAUUGCGGCAACCAACCAAGUGGUCAGUGUAGCCUUAGUAGCGCAGCGAGAAGUGGAUGAGCCACAGAGUUAGCAAGGACCGGCGGAGUCAGAGAAGGAUCAGGACAGCAAUGAGCACGACAACGAGAGCAACCCCAAGGACGUGGUAAGGAAGAAAGUGGUGCAACGCCCAGUGUACUUCGUCAGAUCCUUGUUACAGGGGGCUAGAUUGAUGUAGUGUGGCAUGCAAAAGUUGAUCUUUGGUCCCAUCAUGGCCUCAAGGAAAACUGCGCCACUACUUCCAAGCCCAUGAGAUCACGGUUGUCACUCGUUUCCCGUCGCAGAGGAUACUCCGAAACCCUGAGGCUACCGGCAAAAUAGUGGAGUGUGCUUUGGAGUUGUCCAGUUUUGGUUUGAAGUUUGAGAGCACAUCAACUAUUCAAAGCAAGGCACUGACAGAGUUUAUUGCAGAGUAGACGCCAGCCACUGAUGAGGAAGUGAUAGAGACAGUUAUCCCCGGCAAGGAUCGCCCCAAGAAUGGAUUUUGUAUUUUGAUGGUGCUUUUUCCCUACAAGGUACAUGAGAUCACGUGCUUCUUGUCGCCCCCUCGGGGGAGAACUUGAAGUAUGUCGUCCAAAUGCAUUUUGCCCGAGAAGAAGCGACCAACAACACAACAAAGUAUGAAGGGCUCCUUGCCGGGCUCAGGAUUGCAGCUGAAUUGGGGAUUAAGAAGCUGAUCAUUCGAGGAGAUUCACAACUUGUGGUGAGACAAGUCAACAAGGAUGACCAAAGUCCAUUGAUGGAGGCAUACAUCAAGGAAGUGAGGAGAUUGGAGGAGCGCUUUGACGGAUUGCAAACAGAGCACGUGCCACGUGUGAAAAUUAGAAUAGUUGAUCAUCUGUCAAAGUGUGUUGCUCAGAAGCUUCCUGUGGAACCAAGGACUUUUGUUCUCCAUCUCACUCAGCCCUCCGUAUCCCCAGCAACAAUGGCCCGUAAAAGGAGAAAGUUCGACUCCGGUAUGCCUCUCCCGCUAGAGUCGUCCGCUCCUGGUAGAGCCCCUGCCAGAAACAACUCCUCACAGCCUACCGGACCGCACCCUCCAUCCGGGCCCAUGGACCCCAUGAAUGAGGCAUGUGCUCCCGCAGCAAAGGAGGUGCCGCUAGUCCUUGUUUCUGAGCCCAGGCUCCAACUUGGGCAAGCACAUUGUUCACUUCCUCCAAACCGGAGAGCUUCCCCGCGGGCCAGUAUGUAUCAGUUCAUCGAUGACACUCUGUACAGAAGAAGGCCCAACGGUGUGAAAUUGAAGUGUGUCUCCCGAGAAGAAGGAAAGGAAAUGCUGGCUGAGAUACACAAAGGCAUGUGAAGCUCCCACUUUGGAUCAAGGGCAUUAGUUGGAAAGCAUUCCGGCAAGGAUACUAUUCGCCCACAGCCCUCCAAGAUGCGUUCAAGCUAGUCACCAAAUGUGAAGCCUGCCAGUUCCAUUCCAAGAAAACCCACCUGCCUGCCCAAGCUCUUCAAACAAUCCCUCUAUCAUGGCCAUUUUCGGUCUGGGGGCUCGAUAUUCUCGGCCCCUUCCCUUGAGCAAUCAGGGGCUUUGAAUUCUUGUUUGUUGCUAUCGACAAGUUUACAAAGUGGCCGAAGUGGCUGCCGUGAGAAAGUUGACUGCUCAAUUAGCCAUCAAGUUCUUAAAAGAAUUGGUGUGUCAUUUCGGGGUUCCGGCAAGGAUCAUUACCGACAACGGCACCCAGUUCAUGAGCCACGCCUUCAUGUAAUAUGUUCAGGCCCUCGGAUGCAAGAUCUCACUUUCCUCUAUGGCACACCCCCGGAGCAAUGGACAAGAUGAGAGGGUGAACGCUGAAGUGCUGCGUGGACUCAAGAUGAGAACCUUUGAUACGCUGUAGAAGCACGACAGACGAUGGAUCGAGGAGCUGUCGGUGGUUCUCUGGUCCCUCAAAACGACACCUAACUGAGCUAUCGGGCAGACUCCCUUCUCCCUGGUCUACGGGGCAGAAGUAGUUAUCUCCACUGAACUCAUUUAUGGGUCUUCUCGAGUGCUUGUCUAUGAUGAAGUAAUGCAAGAUCAGCAUCGACGUGACGACGUUGUGCUACUCGAGGUGAACCGUCUCCGGGCUACUACGUGUGCUGCACGCUAUAAGCAAGCCUUGCGUCGCUAUCAUAGCCACAGGGUUCACGCCUGGUGUUUUGAGAAAGGUGACCUUGUCCUUAGGCACGUUCAGUCCGCCAAGGGUACAAACAAGUUGUCACCGAAGUGGGAAGGCCCUUACCGGGUACUACAAGUCACCAGACAUGGAGCAGUUCGUUUGGAGACCAGAGAUGGCAUUCAGUUGCAAAAGUCAUGGAAUAUUGAGCAUCUCGACAAGUUCUAACCGUAAGGCAUGGCUGUCAGGCCCUGCCCAGCAGCCACCCAUUUGUACAAGCCUUGGCUCUCCUGCAUGUAACCCCUUGUACAAAGCCAGGGCGAUGAUCCUGUGCAACAGAAAAUAAACAAGCGUUAUGGGGGCCCCUGACCAAGAUUGCAUGCAUGCAUGAGCAUUCCAAAGAUCACUGCAUAAGAAUUUCAUAAGCAUUUUCACAUGCAUAUAGAUAGGAUCGCAUCCUACAUUCAUUCUCAUUUGCAUGAAGCUGCAGGUUCCUGCCGUGAACUUGGCUUUGACAAGGAGUUGAGAAGAUUGCCCGGCACUGCGAUCCCCGACAAGCCAAACAAGAUAAGUUCUAACUCAUGUCCGUUAGUGUUCUGUAAGCUAUAACUUGUGCAUAAGAAAACCUUGCCACUCUUUUGAGACUUAGGUGCACCCAUCCCUGACUCGAACAUUGCUUUGGUCAGGAUGGUCGCAGUGGCCUUUGGUAAAAAGAAGUUGGCAGGGGCUGGUCCCUUUGUCUUUUGCCCAGUAGACACAGCUCUUCAGUGGACAAAAAGGGUGCCAGCAGGAUAGCCUACCGGGGAAAACUCGUUUAUGUACACUAAAGAGGAACCUCACCUCUACAUGGACAUACACAUGUACUGGUUCCCGGCAAGGUUCAUCUUUUUCAUUAAUAUGCUGAUACAAGUACAAGCAUUACAGAACACAAACAUGGACUCGAGAGAUUAGAUUAUUUGAACUAAAAUUCGGCAAGUGCCUAUAGGUUUAACAUUGAAAAAAGAUAAGUGCCCCGUAAUCCCCUCUUUUCGUUUUCCCUCCAUCAGGCACUGCGGCGGAAGGAGGAAAAGACGAGAACAGGGCACCCAAGCAGGAACCCAUCCUGGUCUCAUUGAGACCCACUCGGCACGGCCGGACAAGACCGGGAGUGGCGAGGCUCCGAAGGAGGAGUACGGAGGAUGGGGUGGAGACUAGAGAGCCAGCAAGAAGCCCUGGCUUGAGCACUGGUGGAGUCAUCCACCAAAUCUCAGUCAGAAGACUGCUGGAGGGGAGGCGAAGGCGCCAAGAGAUUAUCCCACCCCGGCUAUCACCCUAGGAUGCUGGUGAUGAUGAUGCCAGGGGGGAGGGGAAGACCGGAAAGAUGAGGUGGCAGGUUGCUGGUUAGAGGCGAAGGCAUCCAUGACAUCGUACUCUGACCUGACCCCCUGCCACCCGCCAUCUCCGUCUUCCCUCGUUUUCUCCUCAACACCACUGCUCCCGACAAGCACCAAGACUCCAGUCCGGCACCUUUCCAGGGGAAACGGCGAGUGGCCAAGAUGGCUAGGGGGCUUGAGGCGCACCGCUCCCCACCUUGGCGGGCAGGAAGGCGCGCCUGUCGUCGACAUCAGCCCCAAGAAUUCAGGGAGGGGUAGUGCUGGGAUUACCAAUGAUCUCUAGCCCCGCCUCCUGGCUGAGCCUGGAACAAACCAAGAGAUUCGCCACAGCAAGGACCAUGCUCACUCCCCGAGCGCUAACACCAGCAUUUGGCAACACUAGCCCCAACCAAGAGCCUGGGGGCUGGCCCAGGCUUCAGCAUAGCUAACAAGAAGCAGAAGACAGAAGACGAAGAAUGCGAGGGUGGAUGACUACGACCUCCUUUUGUCCCUCCUUUUAUAGGCGGGCUGGGGGGAGAGCCGCUCCCUCAACGGACGGCCACCGUCCUCCUCCACCAAUUCAAGAUGACCGGGCCCUCGCCUUGAUUCUCUCCAACGCCAUGUGCCUCUGUUACCUACCCCGUGUGAUGCAUGCAGCAUACGUGGCAAAGGAUAAGGGCAUGGUGGGAAGAGUGAAUUGGCGGUUUCUACCCCGUGCGUUAAAGUCAUUCAUGGGCCAUUACUGGAGCGACCCCACCACUAUUGGCUUUCCACGAAGCACAGAGAAACCGGAAACUGGCCCAGAAUCAAGGCUAAUGAAGAAGCAAAGAAGACCUCAAGAGACCAACCUCUUCAGCAACCCUGCAUGUGCACUUAUUAGGCCCUACACCGAUGAUGCUCGGCAACGCUUUUGGGGAAGGCCCGGGGGCUUCUGUCGAUGCAAUAAACCCUGGGUCUGUUGCCCAUACUAUGCACAGGCACGGGGACGAGAUUGGAGCACCAACCCAAGUCAGAGUACAAGGGACCAAUGGAUUCGAAGAACCAACAUGCAGAUCAGAGGGACCAAGAUCAAGCCAGAGAAGCAAGAUACCAUCAGGAAGGGCCUCCUUUGCUGGGCAAGCGAGCUCGGCAAGGGGUGAGGCCACCCCUGGAAGAAGACGUCCAAGACGUCCCGGCAGGGCCUACCGGGACACACGGAGGCAAAACCACCUCACCAACCACAACGUCACGACCCACAUCAUUAAUUAGUGCAGUGUCAAGCCGCAAAGUGACUAAGUGGCAGCCAUUCACCACACGGCAGCCUCUCCCUACAGGAAAUACCUGCAGAUGACACCCGUCCUGCAACGUGUCAAGUGAACAGGCGUAGAGCUGACGAGAUAUCCCGGCAAGCCUUGCUGGGAAACCAAUGAUGUGACAUUGAGUGGUGCAUUUAAUGCACCCUGUCAGCCUUUAGAGUCAGGGAUGAUAGCACCGUUCGCUAUCUUAUCAGUGCAUAAUGACUACUUUGCCAUUGUGGUAACCCCUUGAUCUAUAAAAGGAGGCCCAUCGAAACCGUAGAAAGGGCUAGAAGGUUGGAUAACUCACACCCCCGUACGUGCGUAGCCACGACCGCCAUGAGGCGACCCCUGUCGGGAAAGUGUACUACGCUCCACCAACACCUUUCCACCAUCAAUCCACCAAAGCAGGAGUAGGGUUUUACGCCUCACGGUGGCCCAAACAUGGGUAAAUAUGCCUGCAUGAUCUCUGCCAUGCUGCCCCACGCUCGUCUGCUCUUUGUGCAAUGCAACGCCCCCCUGCCGAACCAGCAAGGGGCCUUCUGGUCCCAUAGGUGGCCGUGAUUUCCCACGACAAUGGAGAACAAAAGUCCCUAGUUCCAUAGGAAUCUUCUGUGCAGUGCACUUUGACAGAUGAUCAGCUAUGUUAUUUUCGACAUGGGGUAUGUGCUCUGUUUGCAAUCCGUCAGAGCGCUCCUCCAAUCUUCUCACUUCCUCAAUGUAUGCCUCCAUCAAUGCACGUUGGUAGUCCUUGUUGACUUGUCUCACCACGAGCUAUGAAUCUCCUUAGAGGAUCAGCUUCCUAAUUCUCAAUUCUGCGGCAAUCCUUAGCCCAGCAAGGAGCCCUUCAUACUCUCCUGUAUUGUUAGUCGCCUCUUCUCGGGCAAAAUGCAUCUAGACAACUUACUUCAAGUGCUUGCCAGAGGGGACAACAAGAAGUACGCCAGCCCCUGCAACUUAUAGGGAAAAAGCACCAUCGAAAUACAUGAUUCAUUCUUGGGGCGCUUCCUUGUCGGGGAUAACUGUAUCCAACACUUCCUCAUCAGGGGUGGCGUCCAUUCUACAAUAAACUGUACCAAUGCCCUGCUCUGGAUUGUUGAUGUGCUCUCAAACUUUAGGCCAGAACUGGAUAACUCCAAAGCCCACUCCACUAUCCUGCCGGUAGCCUCAGGGUUUUGGAGUAUCCUUUGCAAUGGGAAGCGAGUGACAACCGUGAUCUCAUGGGCUUGGAAGAAGUGGCACAGUUUCCUUGAGGCCAUGAUCAGACCAAAGAUCAAUUUUUUUCACGCCAGAGUACCUCUUUCGAGCUCCUUGUAGCAGCGAACUGACAAAGUACACUGGGCGUUGCACCACUUUCUUCCUUUCCGUGUCCUCGGGAUCGCCCUCGCUGUCGUGCUCAUUUCUGUCCUGAUCCUUAUCUGGGUCUACCGGGCCUUGCUCACUUGUUGCAUCAUCCACUUCCCACUGUGCCACCAAGGCUGCGCUAACCACUUGAUUGGUUGCCGCCAAGUAUAGCAACAGUUUCGGGGGUGGUGUGUGUCUGUGUGAGCGGUGGUUUUGGGGAGUGUGUGGUGUGUGUGGAGGAGGGGGCAAGGUGGUGUUUGAGGAAAUACUGCGGCAAUUGAAAAAAUUCCUAGGCGGGAGUAACAAGGUGGGCUACUGAAAAUUUGGAUCAAGGGCGAGCAGGUAUUUUUGAGAUUGCGAGGGAUGCAGAGGCGGGAGUAAAAUGCCGGGGCUACUAAAAAUUUGAAUCAAGGGACUGAAGCAGAGCCGGAGUAACACACAUCGCACACGGUCCGCACAUACUAAUUGUGGGCUAUCAAACAUUAAAACCUUCCAGGCGGUAGAUAUUUUCGAGAUUACGAGGCAGCAAUAAUUUCGAGAUUGUGAGGGAUGCAAAGGCAGGAAUAUUUGGGGAGCGAGGUAGUGUGCUUGACACACCGGCUGUGGACUGUAGCCGACGCACUUUCUCGCGUAAGCCAUAGGCAUACUAUACACCGAGAGUGCUCCAGGAUAUUUUGUACUGCAUCUCACACGGUUGGUGAUAAUAAACUGUGUGGGAUCUACUUGAUUUUUCAUCUUGAUUUGAAUUACAUAAUGGGGUCAUAGAGGCAAUAGACGGUGUUUGAAUUGCUAGACCUUUUAUCUGCAGUGAACAUGCAACUAUAUGUGUGUCGUAAAAGAAUUGGAAUUAUUCAGGGUUUGUUUGGACAUUCUAUACAUUAAAUUGGUUUCUAGCCAUUUUAGGUGCACAAUUCAAAAUUAAACUACAUGUACAUGCUCCUGUGCACCAACAUGGGUGGUAAAAUCAUAUAUGUGUCCAUGGGUUUAUGCUUAUGUCCCAUGCAAGAAAUGGGGAUGAAUUACAAACACCACGGCACCGUGGCUCUCCAGCAAACGUCGACGUACUUGCUUUUGUACUUCUAGUAAAUCCAAAAUGUGUCUGAAAUUCAUGAAACUUGGCAUGCUAUCAUGGAGCGGCAUCAACAUGCCGUGGUAAUUUUUUUUUGUCACAGGUAGAUUAUACCAAAUAGAAGUAUCUUGCUAAAUUUGGGAAUUAUUGCGGGUUCGUUUGGCCUUUUUUAUACAUUAAUUGAAUUUUUGGGAAUUUAAUGUGCAUAAUUCAAAUUUGAACUACAAGCACAUGCUCCGGUGCACCAAAGAUGGUUGAAAAAUCACAUGUGUGUCCUUGGGUGAAUUUCUAGGUCCCAUGCAAGAAAUGGGAAUGAAAUUCAAACAUCUAUGCGUCGUGGCUUGGCCGGAAAGAUUGAGAAACUUGGUUUUUUAAUUCAUGUAAAUCCAAAACACGCAUGAAAAUCAUGAAACUUGGCAUGGUGUCAUGACAUGGUACCAACAUGCUGUGGUAAAUUUUUUGGCCGAAUUGGGACAAGCUUUGUUAUAAGCUGCUUGCAAACUGGAGCUUCUCUCCAGAAAGCUCGUGGUUCCGAGAGAGAACAUGUCACCUCCGUGUGCGAAACGACAUACGUACACUGCCUUCUCCCACCAUAAUUUUUUACACAGGCAGAUUAGACCAAAUAGAAGAAUCAUGGUAAAUUUUGGAAUUAUUCUGGGUUUAUUUGGCCUUUCUUAUACAUUAAUUGAAUUUCUGGGCAUUUAAUGUGCAUAAUUCAAAUUUCAACUACAAGCACAUGCUCCAUUGCACCAAAGUUGGUUCAAAAAUCACAUGUGUGUCCUUGGGUGAAUUUCUAUCCCAUGCAAGAAAUGGGAAUGAAAUCCAAACGUAUAGGCGUCGUGGCUCGGCCGGAAAGAUUGAGAAACUUGGUUUUUUAAUUCCUGUAAAUCCAAAACACGCUUGAAAAUCAUGAAACUUGGCAUGGUGUCAUGACAUGGCACCAACAUGGUGUGGUAAUUUUUUUGUCCUAUUUGUGAAGGGGCACACAUUAACAAUCAACAAAGUCAUUUUGGAACAAGAGUUGUCACGUUACAAAUCAGAAACAUAACUAUUAUUGAAAACCGUGGGCGUUCUACUUACCAAUUACGUGCCGCCACGCGUUCCAUUUUUUAUUGGCUAGGAGGUGCCAUGUGGGGUAGCUAUUUGAGUGCGGGAGGCGUGCGAUCGGACCCCUGCGUGUGCUCAUCGGGAGGAGAGCCCUUUGACCUCUAUCCGCCGUGCACCUCCCUCCCAAUGUCUCCAUUAAUGGCACCCAAGCCCAUGUUUCACGGCAUGGCUAUGUCUCACUGGACUAAGAUUCAAGAGAGAAAAAUGAAAAUCUGAGAAGAUAGUUUUGCAUGGAUCUUGAUGUAAGAUCCGACGGACCUGUAUAGCAUGGACUGCGACUUCUAGCAAGCAUGAUGAAUAUAAGGACGACAGUGGAUAAUAAUUGUCUUACAUAUUUAGGAACAUAAUUAAAAAAAGCCACAUGCGGCAACACUCGAAAUACACAAGGGCAAAAGAAGAAGGAAGACAAUGAUCUGGCUCGCUGAUCUCUACUUUCUUGAUGUGUUGCUGCAGGCCGCGGGAACUAGUCUCCGCAACGAUCGGCGAUGAGCUCUUUCCUGUCCUCAAUAUGCUGCUUGAGAGCAUCCACUGAUUCCUCCACCAGCCUUUUGUGCUUCAUGUGCAGCACGGCAUUCUCGUCCAUAAGUUUCUCAAUGAUGACGCUGGUCCUCUUUGAUAGAGGCUAAGGUGUCCCGAUGUUUCGAUGAGAUGGUGGCUAUCGUUUUCUGUGGGAGUCGACCUUGACGAUCCGACUACGAACGUGCGAGCGUCGUGCCUUAGCAAUCGCUAAACCAACUUCCGAGGGUUAUUGACCACGCCGGAGCACGAACAACCUGACCACGAGGGUCUGUUUCCUGCGAGCAAACGAAGAACAAGCAAGAAACUGAGAUUGCAAUCGGGAUAUUGCGAAUAUAAGAUGAAAGCUUUAUUGAUCAAGGUGGGGUUCUGUGACGUCUUGGUCUGGUCGUUGGAUACAAACGAAGUACGCGAAGUUGCAGCUAUGGCGAACUUUUAAUCUAAACAAAACCCAAAGUCUAAAUGACGCCCUAAGGGCUGUAUAUAUGGAGGAAGAGGAGGGAAUUUCGUGGCCCUUGAGGGUGGGGUCCGAAACCAACCCUAACUCUUGUUUCCCCACACAUACGGACUCUAAAAAUAGCCUAUACUUAAGUAUUUCGAAACUACAUGGGCCUGGGCCAUUAAUAAGGUGACGCAGCACCUAGAAUAGCCUAUGGACGAAUAUUAUGAAGUGGCAUCUUGUAUAUUUCGUCCAAGGCUUCAUUCACUCCUUAUGGCGGCUUCAAAGUCCUGAAAUCAUCACUUGCAACUCCGUUCUUGAUCCCCUUGCGCAUGCCAUCAACUCCAUGCGUGUUCUUGCUCCAAUGUCCAUCCUUCUCCAAGCUAGGCCCUUCAUUUGUAAGCAAAACAAAUGUAUCCAAUUUAGGCAGCAUCAUAAUCUCAUGAACAUUAGAAUCAUUACCAAGAAACGAAAGUACCUGGUAAUUUAAUUGGCGUGCGCGAGCUCUAGUAAUUGGUCCAGUAUAUGUAACAGUAGGGGCUGUGGGUGUAACAAUGGUAUUGAUGUCCUCAUCAUCCUCCCCUUCUUGAAAUGAAGCCGUCCUCGACAGAAGCGGAUCUUCCUCACCCAAAUAAGGCUUCAAAUCUGCAAUAUUAAAAGUGGGACUAACCCCAAAAUCUACAGGUAGCUCAAGUUUAUAUGCAUUAUCAUUUAUUUUCUCUAACACCUUAAAAGGACCAUCAACACGUGGCAUUAGCUUUGAUUUGCGCAGAUUAGGAAAUCUAUCUUUACGCAAAUGUAACCAAACAAGAUCUCCAUGCGCAAACACAACAUGUUUUCUACCCUUAUCUCCAGCAAGUUUAUAUUUAGCAUUCAUACGCUCAAUGUUUUCCUUAGUUAACUCAUGCAUUUUUAAAAUCAAUUCAGAACAUUCUUUAGCAUCAAAAUUAACCUUCUCUGAAGAUGGAAGAGGCAACAAAUCAAUAGGUGCACGAGGUAGGAAACCAUACACAAUUUCAAAAGGGCACAUCUUAGUAGUAGAAUGCAAUGAACGAUUAUAAGCAAAUUCAAUAUGAGGCAAGCAUUCUUCCCACAUUUUCUUGUUACUCUUCAAAACAGCCCUAAGCAUAGUAGACAAUGUUCUAUUGACUACUUCAGUUUGUCCAUCAGUUUGGGGGUGACAAGUAGUACUAAAAAGCAGCUUAGUCCCCAACUUAGCUCAUAAACAUCUCCAAAACUGGCUAAGAAAUUUAGUAUCACGAUCUGAAACAAUAGUAUUUGGCACACCAUGUAAGCGAAUAAUUUCACGAAAGAACAAAUCAGCAACAUUAACAGCAUCAUCGCUUUUAUGACAUGGUAUAAAGUGUGCCAUUUUCGAGAACCUAUCCACGACAACAAAUAUGCUAUCCCUCCCCUUCUUUGUUCGAGGAAAACCUAAAACAAAGUCCAUAGAUAUAUCCUCCCAAGGAACACUAGGUACAGGCAAAGGCAUAUAUAAACCAUGAGGAUUGAGUCAUGACUUAGCUCUUUGACAUGUAGUGCAGCGAGCAACAAAACGCUCAACAUCCCGUCUCAUCUUUGGCCAAAAGAAAUGUGUAGCAAGUAUAUCCUCCGUCUUCUUGACGCCAAAGUGUCCCAUUAAUCCUCCUCCAUGCGCCUCCUGCAACAACAAAAGACGAACUGAGCUAGCUGGAAUCCAUAGCUUGUUAGCACGAAACACAAAUCCAUCGUUAAGAACGAACUUGUUCCAAGUUCUCCCUUCCUUACAAUUCUGCAAUACAUCUUUAAAUUCAGCAUCAUGAACAUAUUGAUCUUUGAUGGUCUCCAAACCAAGUAUUUUAAAGUCAAGUUGUGAAAGCAUAGUAUAACAACGAGACAAGGCAUCAGCAAUAACAUUUUCUUUACCCCUCUUGUGUUUAAUGACAUAAGGGAAAGUCUCAAUGAAUUCAACCCAUUUAGCAUGUCUACGGUUAAGUUUUGCUUGACUUUUAAUGUGUUUCAAAGAUUCAUGAUCAGAAUGUAUAACAAGUUCCUUGGGCCAUAAAUAAUGUUGCGAUGUUUCUAAGGUCCGAACAAGAGCAUAUAAUUCUUUAUCAUAAGUAGAAUAGUUCAGACUAGGCCAACUCAAUUUUUCUGAAAAGUAUGCAACAGGUUUUCCAUCUUGUAAUAACACACCUCCUAAUCCAAUUCCACUAGCAUCACAUUCAAGCUCAAAAGUCUUAUUGAAAUUAGGAAGUUGGAGUAAAGGAGCAUGUGUCAACUUAUCUUUCAAUACCGUAAAGGCUUCUUCCUGUGCGGUACCCCAAACAAAAGGCACAUCCUUCUUUGUAAGCUCGAUGAGAGGUGCAGCAAUGGUGCUGAAAUCUCUCACAAAACGCCUAUAGAAACCAGCGAGGUCAAGGAAACUCCUCACUUGUGUGACCGUUUUGGGCUGCGGCCAACUCUCAAUAGCUUCAAUCUUGGCUUUAUCAACUUCAAUUCCCUGUGGAGUAACAACAUAGCCAAGAAAAGAUACUCGGUCGGUGCAAAAGGUGCACUUUCCAAGGUUUCCAAACAAACGUGCAUCACGUAGAGCAAUAAAAACAGCACGUAAAUGUUCCAAAUGUUCCUCCAAAGAUUUGCUAUAAAUCAAUAUGUCAUCAAAGUAAACUACCACAAAUCGUCCAAUGAAAGCACGUAAAACUUCGUUCAUUAACCUCAUGAAAGUACUAGGUGCAUUAGUUAACCCAAAAGGCAUGACUAACCACUCAUAUAAUCCAAACUUAGUUUUAAAUGUUGUUUUCAAUUCAUCGCCCAAUUUCAUACGAAUUUAAUGGUAUCCACUACGCAAAUCAACUUUGGAGAAUAUUGUAGAGCCACUCAAUUCAUCAAGCAUAUCAUCUAGCCUAGGAAUAGGAUGACGAUAACGAAUAGUAAUAUUAUUAAUGCCUCUACAAUCAACGCACAUACGCGAUGUACCAUCCUUUUUCGGCACUAAAAUGAUAGGAACAGCACAAGGACUAAGGGAUUCGCGUAUAUAACCUUUGUCAAAAAGUUCUUGUACUUGACGCAUAAUCUCCUUCGUCUCCUCUGGAUUGGUACGGUAUGGUGCACGGUUGGGUAGCAAAGCACCGGGAAUUAAGUCAAUUUGAUGCUCAAUCCCUCGAAUAGGUGGUAAUCCCGGUGGCACGUCUUGUGGAAAAACGUCAGUGAACUCCUGCAAAAUGUUAGUGACAACGGGGGGCAAAGAGGAAGGCACGUCCUCGAAUGAAAAUAAUGCCACUUUGCACACAAAAGCAUAGCAAACAGAUUUGCUAAAAUCUAGCUCAUCAAUAUCAGAUUUGGUGGCAAGUAAACAUGCACUUUUCAAUUUAAUUUCAGAAACAACAGUAGAUGGUUUAUUAUUAGGCUUCAUUUGGUGCUCAAAUUCUUUUGCCACAAUCUGAUUUUCACUCUUAUUUGUCUCCUGUUUUGCUUUAUUAGCUCUAUUAAUAUCAUCUUUCAAAAUGGAAUCAGGAGUCAUAGGAAGCAAAGUAAUAUUUUUAUCGUUAUGAACAAGAGUAUACUGAUUGUUUCUACCAUGGUGUACAGAAUUUUUAUCAAAUUGCCAUGGUCUACCAAGUAAUAAGGAACAUGCUUGCAUAGGUACCACAUCACAAUCAACAUAAUCAGCAUAUGUAGAGAUACUAAAAUGCACACGAACAGUACGUGUUACCUUAACCUUGCCGCUAUUGUUGAACCAUUGGAUGUAGUAAGGAUGUGGAUGUGGUCUUGUGGUGAGAGAUAGCUUCUCCACCACCUCCAUGCUAGCCAAGUUAUUGCAGCUCCCUCCAUCUAUGAUCACGCGAACAGAAUGUUCCUUCACAACUCCCUUUGUAUGGAACAAAUUAUGCCUCUGAUUUUGCUCAGCUUGUGUAACCUGCACACUUAAAACACGUUGAGCAACUAAACAUUCAUACCUGUCAGCAUCUUCAGGAGCCAUGUAUUGCGUCUCAUGAUCAAAAUCGUCUCCACCGUGUUCUUCACGUGUAAUAAGAGCCAAAGUCUCCUCAUCAUAGUCACUAGCGGACUCAUACCCACCAUCCUCAGUAACAAUCAUCACACGCUUAGAUGGGCAUUCUCUCGCAUAAUGACCUCCACCCUUGCAACGUCGACAAAUAAUAUCAUGUGUUUGCCCUGUUGAUGCCAUGGAUGAAGAAGAGCUCUUCGCAGGCCCAGAAGGUGUGCUCUUGGCAGAUAGUGGUGAUUGUGCCUGCUUUAUUGUAUCACGGUUGGAGGUGGCAGCCGAUGGAGGCGCCGGUGUAGCAGAACGUGUGGAAGUAGAUGAUGCACGUGGUGUCCAUGAUGAAGGUCGAGCUGCAGAAAAGUUAGUCCGUGCCAAUGCCUGUCGAUCCUGCACUUCACGUUCAGCUUUACAAGCAAGAUGGAAUAAACGAGUGAUAUUAGUAUACUCCUUAUACUCUAGAAUCGUCUGAAUCUCUCUAUUUAAUCCACCCAUAAAACGUGCAAGCAUAGCUUCAUUCUCCUCAACAAUACCACAUCUAAUCAUGCCAGUUUGUAAUUCCUGAUAAUAUUCUUCUACAGAAUUUUUUCCCUGUCUUAAGCGCUGCAAUUUUUGAAGUAAUUCACGUUGAUAAUAUGGUGGAACCCAACGAGUACGCAUAGCAGUUUUCAAAGCAGCCCAAGUAGCCGGAAUAGGAUAUAAUCUACAAUGCUCAGACCACCAAACACAUGCAAAACUAGUGAAUGCACAAACAGCAGCAGGAACACGUCUCUCCUCGGGAUAUUGUAAACAUGUAAAUCAUUGUUCAGUUUCUAACUCCCAAGUAAGAUAUAUAUCAGUAACAUAUCUACCCUCAAAUGGUGGAAUAUUCAAUUUUAGUUUACGGAGAUGGUCAUGAUCUCGUACCUGAGGGUGAGCCCUACCAUUGCCAUUAUUUGCAUGUGGAUGACCUGGUGGUUGCUGUGCUGGUGGUGGCACGUAGUUCUGAUUUUGAUCAACCUCAUCCUCAUAAUCUCCCACAUAAUCAUCCUCCUCCACAUUAGCAGUUGAUGAGGACAUCAAUACAAUUGUUACACCCACAGCCCCUGCUGCUAUACAUACCGGACCAAUUACUAGAGCUCGUGCACGCCAACUAAAUUACCAGGUACUUUCGUUUCUUGGUAAUGAUUCUAAUGUUCAUGAGAAUAUGAUGCUGCCUAAAUUGGAUACAUUUGUUUUGCUUACAAAUGAAGGGCCUAGCUUGGAGAAGGAUGAACAUUGGAGCAAGAACAAGCAUGGAGAUGAUGGCAUGCGCAAGGGGAACAAGAACGGAGUUACAAGUGAUGAUUUCAGGACUUUGAAGCCACCAUAAUGGGUGCAUGAAGCCUUGGACGAAAUAUACAAGAUGCCACUUCAUAAAUUUCGUCCCGAGGCUAUUUUAGGUGCUGCGUCACCUUAUUAUUGGGCCAGGCCCAUGUAAUUUCGAAAUACAUAAGUAUAGGCUAUUUUUAGAGUCCGUAUGUGUGGGGAAACAAGAGAUAGGGUUGAUUUCGGACCCCUCCACCAAGGGCCACGAAAUUCCCCCCUCUUCCUCCAUAUAUACAGCCCUUAGGGCAUCGUUUAGACUUUGCGUUUUGUUUAGAUUAAAAGUUCGCCAUAGCUGCAACUUCGCGUACUUUGUUUGUGUUCAACGACCAGACAAAGGCGUCACAGAACCCCACCUUGAUCAAUAAAGCUUUCAUCUUAUAUUCGCAAUAUCCAGAUUGCAAUCUCAGUUUCUUGCUUGUUCUUCGUUUGCUCGCAGGAAACAUACCCUCGUGGUCAGGUUGAUCGUGCUCCGGCGUGGUCAAUAACCUCUCGGAGUUGGUUUAGCGAUUGCUAAGGCGCGACGUCCUCGCACGUUCGUAGUCGGAUCGUCAAAGUCGACUUCCACCAGAGCGAUAUCCAUCAUCUCAUCGAAAGACGGGACACCUUUGCCUCUAUCAAGUGGUAUCAGAUUUCCAGGUUGCUCGGUGAGAUUUUACAGUUUUUCGUAGUUUAGAUCGAGUCUGUUCUUCAUACCUACGGUCCACGAAAAAGCCACAAAAAAAUUAGGGUUAGUUCAUCAUAUCCGAACCAAUCUGAGCCUUUGCAUAAUCUUUUUAUGGUUUUGCUUUGUUGAAUUUGCGGUUGCAUUGUCGUAUCUAGUUGCUGGUCUUAGAGUCUAGUCUUUUAGAGUUUCGAGUUCUGGUCAUAAGUUGUCACGCCGCCGCCGCACCAUCAUCAUCGCCCCUGCCAUCUACCACCACCGCUCCGAAUCCGUAUCCAUAUACCACCACCAAUCCGUGUCCAUAUACCACCACCGAUCCAUAUCCAUAUACUACCACCGCUACCACCACCGCUGCUAUAUACCACCACCAUAUAUCCACCACCAAUCCGAGUUCCUUGCAUAUUAGGUUUGUUUUCGAGAUCCAUCUAGUUUCCGAUUCGUGUUUCCUUGCCGGAGUAGGUUUCCGAUUCGUGUUUCCUUGCCGGAGUCGGAAACCACGCUCCGUUUAGGCCCAAAAUUUUUCGAAAACGCAUUUUUCGAAAUUUUUUCUGGCUAUCCUAUUUUUAGGUGUUUCUGAGUGUUUUGAGACAGGUGCCAUUAUAGGAAGUUUUUUUUGACCCGUUUCCAGUUUUUGGGUCCGGGCAGUCGAAAAAAAAAUUUGGUCGAAAAAAAAAUUUCGUGCCCAUCCUGUCAGUUUGACCUAGGAAGAGUUUUGAGACACUCGCCAUUAUAGUGAUUUUUCGCAAAAAAAAGGAGCGCAAAAAAAAGAGCGAAAAAAACAGAGUGUGCUUUUCCCUUGUUUACGUGCCGCGUCGUGAUUUUGUUGGUGUUCUAGGCUCGCGUCUCUAGCACAUUCUAGCCUAGGACCAGCACAGUACCGUCGUUGAGCAUUUAUUCAACUUUGCAUCUCUGAAUUGAUUAUUGCUGACCUUUUUUGCUACCAUACUAUAAGCCUUCCCAGCUCCACAUACAUCUACGUCGUGUGUUUGACUCUCCCUGGUAAUCGCUCUAUCCAAGCUUUGAGAGUUUUUGACUACAACGGUUGCCGAUCACCGCCUGCUGCUGGGUAAGAACUGGUAAGAAUUUGAGAUUUGCUUCACGGAUUUGUGAUACACCACCACCACUUCUUAGUAGUCUGUAGGAUCAUAUUCUUGUGUGUUUCUAUUGCUGCUAACCAUGCCAGGAUCAUAAGCCGACGAGAUUGACUGGGAGAACUUAUGGAACAAGGAGCUUCAUGAUAAGUUUCAGCAAAUGAUGACUGAAUAGGUACAAGAUGUGCUGAACAAUUUUGAAGAGGCCAUGGAGAAGAUCACUGGCCUUGAGAAGACGUUCGAAACAAAGCUCGAUAACAGAUUUAAUGAACUGCUUGCGCGUCUUCCACCACCGGCUGCACCUGUCGCACCUCUGCAACAACAACAACUACGCCCCCUUCCGAAUCAGUAUGGACGAGCACAUCGUGUUCCUAUUGAGCCAGGACAAAAUUCUGGUGCCACUGCUACUGCUGUUGGUGCUUCUUUGGCUCCUGCUACUGCUGCUGCUGGUACCCAGGAGGAUGAUGAUUAUGUGGGAGAUUAUGAGGAUGAGGUUGAUCAAAAUCCGAACUACGUGCAGCCACCAGCACCACCACCACCAGGUCGACCUCAGGUAUAUAUUCGUAAUGGUAGGCCUGCACCACCACCUCAGGUACGAGAUGAUGUCCAUAUUCCUAAACUGAAAUUGAAUAUUCCACCAUUUGAGGGUAGAUAUGUUCCUGAUAUAUAUCUUACUUGGGAGUUAGAAACUGAACAACGAUUUACAUGUUUAUAAUAUCCUGAGGAGAGACGAGUUGCUGCUGCUGUUUGUGCUUUCACUAGUUUUGCAUGUGUAUGGUGGUCUGAACAUUGUAGAUUAUAUCCUAUUCCAACUACUUGGGCUGCUUUGAAAACUGCUAUGCGUACGCGUUGGGUUCCACCAUAUUAUCAACGUGAAUCGCUUCAAAAAUUGCAGCGUUUAAGACAAGGGAAAAAUUCUGUAGAAGAAUAUUAUCAGGAAUUACAAACUGGCAUGAUUAGAUGUGGUAUUGUUGAGGAGAAUGAAGCUAUGCUUGCACGUUUUUUGGGUGGAUUAAAUAGAGAGAUUCAGACCAUUCUAGACUAUAAGGAGUAUACUAAUAUCACUCGUUUAUUCCAUCUUGCUUGUAAAGCUGAACGUGAAGUGCAGGAUCGACAAGCAUUGGGGCGAACUAACUUUUCUGCAGGCCGACCUUCAUCAUGGACACCACGUGCAUCUUCUACUUCAACUGCACCAGCACCUCCAUCCGGUGCCACCUCCAGCCGUGAUACAAGAAAACAGGCACAACCACCAUUAUCUGCCAAGAGCGCACCUGCGGGGCCUGCACAGCGUUCUUCUUCUUCCAUGGCAUCAACAGGGCACACAAGUGAUAUUAUUUGUCGUCGUUGUAAGGGAGGAGGUCAUUAUGCGAGAGAAUGCAAAUCUCCGCGUGUGAUGAUUGCUACCGCGGAUGAUGGAUAUGAGUCCGCUAGUGACUAUGAUGAGGAGACUUUGGCUCUUAUUACACGUGAAGAACAUGGUGGAGAUGAUUCUGAUCAUGAGACGCAAUACAUGGCUCCUGAAGACGCUGACAGGUAUGAAUGUUUAGUUGCUCAACGUGUUUUGAGUGUGCAGGUCACACAAGCUGAGCAAAAUCAGAGGCACAAUUUGUUCCAUACCAAGGGAGUUGUGAAGGAACGUUCUGUGCGCGUCAUAAUAGACGGAGGGAGCUGCAACAACUUGGCUAGCAUGGAGAUGGUGGAGAAGCUUUCUCUCACCACAAGACCACAUCCACAUCCUUACUACAUCCAAUGGUUCAACAACAGCGGCAAGGUUAAGGUAACACGUACUGUUCGUGUGCAUUUUAGUAUCUCUACAUAUGCUGAUUAUGUUGAUUGUGAUGUGGUACCUAUGCAAGCAUGUUCCUUAUUACUUGGUAGGCCAUGGCAAUUUGAUAAACAUUCUGUACACCAUGGUAGAAACAAUCACUAUACUCUUGUUCAUAAGGAUAAAAAUAUUACUUUGCUUCCUAUGACUCCUGAUUCCAUUUUGAAAGAUGAUAUUAAUAGAGCUAAUAAAGCAAAACAGGAGAAGAAUAAGAGUGAAAAUCAGAUUGUGGCAAUAGAAUUUGAGCAACAAAUGAAGCCUAAUAAUAAACCAUGUAGUGUUGCUUCUGAAAUUAAAUUGAAAAGUGCAUGUUUAUUUGCCACCAAAUCUGAUAUUGAUGAGCUAGAUUUCAGCAAAUCUGUUUGCUAUGCUUUUGUGUGCAAAGAGGCAUUAUUUUCAUUCGAGGACGUGCCUUCCUCUUUGCCUCCUGCUGUCACUAACAUUUUGCAGGAGUUCGCUGACGUUUUUCCACAAGACGUGCCACCGGGAUUACCGCCUAUUCGAGGGAUUGAGCAUCAGAUUGACUUAAUUCCCGGUGCUUCACUGCCAAACCGUGCACCAUACCGUACCAAUCCAGAGGAGACGAAGGAUAUUAUGCGUCAAGUACAAGAGCUUCUCGACAAAGGUUAUAUACGCGAAUCCCUUAGUCCUUGUGCUGUUCCUAUUAUUCUAGUGCCGAAAAAGGAUGGUACAUCACGUAUGUGUGUUGAUUGUAGAGGCAUUAAUAAUAUUACUAUUCAUUAUCGUCAUCCUAUUCCUAGGCUAGAUGAUAUGCUUGAUGAAUUGAGUGGCUCUACAAUAUUCUCCAAAGUUGAUUUGCGUAGUGGCUACCAUCAAAUUCGUAUGAAAUUGGGAGAUGAAUGGAAAACAGCAUUUAAAACUAAGUUUGGAUUAUAUGAGUGGUUAGUCAUGCCUUUUUGGUUAACUAAUGCACCUAGUACUUUCAUGAGACUAAUGAACGAAGUUUUACGUGCUUUCAUUGGACGUUUUGUGGUAGUUUACUUUGAUGACAUAUUGAUUUAUAGCAGAUCUUUGGAGGAACAUUUGGAACAUUUACGUGAUGUUUUUAUUGCUCUACGUGAUGCACGUUUGUUUGGUAACCUUGGGAAGUGCACCUUUUGCACCGACCGAGUAUCUUUUCUUGGCUAUGUUGUUACUCCACAGGGAAUUGAAGUUGAUAAAGCCAAGAUUGAAGCUAUUGAGAGUUGGCCGCAGCCCAAAACGGUCACACAAGUGAGGAGUUUUCUUGGCCUCGCUGGAUUCUAUAGGCGUUUUGUGAGAGAUUUCAGCACCAUUGCUGCACCUCUCAAUGAGCUUACAAAGAAAGAUGUGCCUUUUCUUUGGGGUACCGCACAGGAAGAAGCCUUCACGGUAUUGAAAGAUAAGUUGACACAUGCUCCUUUACUCCAAUUUCCUGAUUUUAAUAAGACUUUUGAGCUUGAAUGUGAUGCUAGUGGAAUUGGAUUAGGAGGUGUGUUAUUACAAGAUGGCAAACCUGUUGCAUACUUUUCUGAAAAAUUGAGUGGGCCUAGUCUGAAUUAUUCUACUUAUGAUAAAGAAUUAUAUGCUCUUGUUCGGACUUUAGAAACAUGGCAACAUUAUUUAUGGCCCAAAGAAUUUGUUAUACAUUCUGAUCAUGAAUCUUUGAAACAUAUUAAAAGUCAAGAUAAACUGAAUCGUAGACAUGCUAAAUGGGUUGAAUUCAUUGAGACUUUCCCUUAUGUCAUUAAACACAAGAAGGGAAAAGAAAAUGUUAUUGCUGAUGCAUUGUCUCGUCGCUAUACUAUGCUUUCACAACUUGACUUCAAAAUAUUUGGUUUGGAGACCAUCAAAGAUCAAUAUGUGCAUGAUGCUGAUUUUAAAGAUGUAAUGCAGAAUUGCAAAGAAGGAAGAAUGUGGAACAAGUUUGUCGUUAAUGAUGGAUUUGUGUUUCGUGCUAACAAGCUAUGCAUUCCAGCUAGCUCCGUUCGUCUUUUGUUGUUGCAGGAGGCGCAUGGAGGAGGAUUAAUGGGACACUUUGUGAUGAGGACAUCAAUACAAUUGUUACACCCACAGCCCCUGCUGCUAUACAUACUGGACCAAUUACUAGAGCUCGUGCACGCCAACUAAAUUACCAGGUACUUUCGUUUCUUGGUAAUGAUUCUAAUGUUCAUGAGAAUAUGAUGCUGCCUAAAUUGGAUACAUUUGUUUUGCUUACAAAUGAAGGGCCUAGCUUGGAGAAGGAUGAACAUUGGAGCAAGAACAAGCAUGGAGAUGAUGGCAUGCGCAAGGGGAACAAGAACGGAGUUACAAGUGAUGAUUUCAGGACUUUGAAGCCACCAUAAUGGGUGCAUGAAGCCUUGGACGAAAUAUACAAGAUGCCACUUCAUAAAUUUCGUCCCGAGGCUAUUUUAGGUGCUGCGUCACCCUAUUAUUGGGCCAGGCCCAUGUAAUUUCGAAAUACAUAAGUAUAGGCUAUUUUUAGAGUCCGUAUGUGUGGGGAAACAAGAGAUAGGGUUGAUUUCGGACCCCUCCACCAAGGGCCACGAAAUUCCCCCCUCUUCCUCCAUAUAUACAGCCCUUAGGGCAUCGUUUAGACUUUGGGUUUUGUUUAGAUUAAAAGUUCGCCAUAGCUGCAACUUCACGUACUUCGUUUGUGUUCAACGACCAGACAAAGGCGUCACAGAACCCCACCUUGAUCAAUAAAGCUUUCAUCUUAUAUUCGCGAUAUCCAGAUUGCAAUCUUAGUUUCUUGCUUGUUCUUCGUUUGCUCGCAGGAAACAGACCCUCGUGGUCAGGUUGAUCGUGCUCCGGCGUGGUCAAUAACCUCUCGGAGUUGGUUUAGCGAUUGCUAAGGCGCGACGUCCUCGCACGUUCGUAGUCGGAUCGUCAAAGUCGACUUCCACCAAAGCGAAAUCCACCAUCUCAUCGAAAGACGGGACACCUCCGCCUCUAUCAUAUUCUCCCAAGGAACACUAGGUACAGGCAAAGGCAUAUAUAAACCAUGAGGAUUGAGUCGUGACUUAGCUUUUUGACAUGUAGUGUAGCGAGCAAUAAAACGCUCAACAUCCCGUCUCAUCUUUGGCCAAAAGAAAUGUGUAGCAAGUACGUCCUCCGUCUUCUUCACGCCAAAGUGUCCCAUUAAUCCUCCUCCAUGCGCCUCCUGCAACAACAAAAGAUGAACGGAGCUAGCUGGAAUGCAUAGCUUGUUAGCACGAAACACAAAUCCAUCGUUAACAACAAACUUGUUCCACAUUCUUCCUUCUUUACAAUUCUGCAUUACAUCUUUAAAAUCAGCAUCAUGCACAUAUUGAUCUUUGAUGGUCUCCAAACCAAAUAUUUUGAAGUCAAGUUGUGAAAGCAUAGUAUAGCGACGAGACAAUGCAUCAGCAAUAACAUUUUCUUUUCCAUUCUUGUGUUUAAUGACAUAAGGGAAAGUCUCAAUGAAUUCAACCCAUUUAGCAUGUCUACGAUUCAGUUUAGCUUGACUUUUAAUAUGUUUCAAAGAUUCAUGAUCAGAAUGUAUAACAAAUUCUUUGGGCCAUAAAUAAUGUUGCCAUGUUUCUAAAGUCCGAACAAGAGCAUAUAAUUCUUUAUCAUAAGUAGAAUAAUUCAGACUAGGCCCACUCAAUUUUUCAGAAAAUUAUGCAACAGGUUUGCCAUCUUGUAAUAACACACCUCCUAAUCCAAUUCCACUAGCAUCACAUUCAAGCUCAAAAGUCUUAUUAAAAUCAGGAAGUUGGAGUAAAGGAGCAUGUGUCAACUUAUCUUUCAAUACCGUGAAGGCUUCUUCCUGUGCGGUACCCCAAACAAAAGGCACAUCUUUCUUUGUAAGCUCAUUGAGAGGUGCAGCAAUGGUGCUGAAAUCUCUCACAAAACGCCUAUAGAAUCCAGCGAGGCCAAGAAAACUCCUCACUUGUGUGACCGUUUUGGGCUGCGGCCAACUCUCAAUAGCUUCAAUCUUGGCUUUAUCAACUUCAAUUCACUAUGGAGUAACAACAUAGCCAAGAAAAGAUACUCGGUCGGUGCAAAAGGUGCACUUCCCAAGGUUACCAAACAAACGUGCAUCACGUAGAGCAAUAAAAACAGCACGUAAAUGUUCCAAAUGUUCUUCCAAAGAUCUGCUAUAAAUCAAUAUGUCAUCAAAGUAAACUACCACAAAUCGUCCAAUGAAAGCACGUAAAACUUCGUUCAUUAAUCUCAUGAAAGUACUAGGUGCAUUAGUUAACCCAAAAGGCAUGACUAACCACUCAUAUAAUCCAAACUUAGUUUUAAAUGCUGUUUUCCAGUCAUCUCCCAAUUUCAUACGAAUUUGAUGGUAGCCACUACGCAAAUCAACUUUGGAGAAUAUUGUAGAGCCACUCAAUUCAUCAAGCAUAUCAUCUAGCCUAGGAAUAGGAUGACGAUAACGAAUAGUAAUAUUAUUAAUGCCUCUACAAUCAACACACAUACGUGAUGUACCAUCCUUUUUCGGCACUAGAAUAAUAGGAACAGCACAAGGACUAAGGGAUUCGCGUAUAUAACCUUUGUCGAGAAGCUCUUGUACUUGACGCAUAAUCUCCUUCGUCUCCUCUGGAUUGGUACGGUAUGGUGCACGGUUUGGCAGUGAAGCACCGGGAAUUAAGUCGAUCUGAUGCUCAAUCCCUCGAAUAGGCGGUAAUCCCGGUGGCACGUCUUGUGGAAAAACGUCAGCGAACUCCUGCAAAAUGUUAGUGACAGCAGGAGGCAAAGAGGAAGGCACGUCCUCGAAUGAAAAUAAUGCCUCUUUGCACACAAAAGCAUAGCAAACAGAUUUGCUGAAAUCUAGCUCAUCAAUAUCCGAUUUGGUGGCAAAUAAACAUGCACUUUUCAAUUUAAUUUCAGAAGCAACACUAGAUGGUUUAUUAUUAGGCUUCAUUUGCUGCUCAAAUUCUUUUGCCACAAUCUGAUUUUCACUCUUAUUCGUCUCCUGUUUUGCUUUAUUAGCUCUAUUAAUAUCAUCUUUCAAAAUGGAAUCAGGAGUCAUAGGAAGCAAAGUAAUAUUUUUAUCCUUAUGAACAAGAGUAUAGUGAUUGUUUGUACCAUGGUGUACAGAAUUUUUAUCAAAUUGCCAUGGUCUACCAAGUAAUAAGGAACAUGCUUGCAUAGGUACCACAUCACAAUCAACAUAAUCAGCAUAUGUAGAUAUACUAAAAUGCACACGAACAGUACGUGUUACCUUAACCUUGCCGCUGUUGUUGAACCAUUGG